RNAcentral lists this long non-coding RNA (75233 nucleotides) under Vitis vinifera (wine grape). RNAcentral describes it as "long non-coding RNA (VVIN_LNC001392)". Lineage: Eukaryota; Viridiplantae; Streptophyta; Magnoliopsida; Vitales; Vitaceae. The record is from RNAcentral.
UUCUCUCCCUUAGGUGGUUUGCCAACUGGGGUUGGUGGCUUGUGUUCUGGGAGUGGCUUCUCCCCCUUGGGAGGUUUUUCCAAUGGGGUUGGUUUGUGUUCAGGAGGUGGCUUCUCCACUGGAGGCUUGUGUUCAGGAGGUGGCUUCUCCACCGGUGGCUUGUGUUCAGGAGGUGGCUUCUCCACCGGAGGCUUAUGCUCUGGUGGUGGCUUCUCCACCGGAGGCUUAUGCUCUGGUGGUGGCUUCUUGAAUGGGGGAUGCUGAGGGUAAUCAGCAAGUGAGGGGGCGGUGAGAACCACCAGGCCAAGCAACACCACUAGCAAAUAUGUAGGAGACAUCUUUGGGUUUGGGCUCAGAUGGUGCAAAACUAGGAGAAUUGGCUAGCCUUUUAUAGCGGAUCGUACUCAAUAAUGAAAUGACACGUGUCAUUAUGACCCAUGUGUAAUGGGGUCGAUUUGGGUCCUACAGUGUUGAAAACUUCGACAUCCAGUUUUGGCCUUUUGCUUUCUCUACAGCCGCCUUGCUUUUUCCCUCUUUCCUUUUGUUUUCCUCCUGCCCCAUUCUAUCAACUAAACACAAUUAUGUAGUUGUUUAAUUCUUAAAUGAGAUAUUAUCGGUCAAUCGUAUUAUAUUUUAUCAAGAGAGAACGGAGUGCAAUGCAGCUGUAAUUUUAUCGUUUACUUUUAUCUCUUGGACCACUGCAUUUUUGUUAAGAGGUGCAAUAAUACACGUCUUUAUCUGCCAUUCAAUGUUUACAGUAAAGAGAGGGCACAAAACUCUUCACUGCUCUGCAUGUGUCCCAAAAAUGCGAUUGGACAAAUUAUGAUUUGCAUGCUAAAAAGAGGCAAAUGAGGUUAAUUCGCACCAUAAUUAUUUGGUUUUCUGGACACCAUAAAAAGAUGUUAUACAGGCAGGGAAAAACCUUCAGAGUUAGCUACCAAAGAUAAUUAUCAAGCAGAUAUCACCAAGAGAAUUCCAUAGAGUCUGAAUCAAAGACAGAUUGCUCGCUCGUGGGGGUUCUUACUUUCUUUUGGGUAUAACUCACUGAGGUCACUGUCUUUUUUAUUUGCAUUUCACAGUUAGAGUUCUGCUCUGGAAGGUUUGUUCUGGAAACAUAUAAAAGGAGCAUCAUUUUGUUCUUGGGUAACCCAUAGUCGUGAGUGGGUCCAUUUGCAUGCUACUUAGUUGAAAAGUUGGACAAUUUGCUCCGACGCCUACCUCCUGGAUUCCAUGCUCGGUAAAACAAGAAUAAAAAAAAAUAUAUAAUUUACAAAUGGGGGAAAGAAAAAAUGUCGGAAAAAAUAGUAAAAUUCAUGUCACAUGCUAGUGAGAGAAGGGGUUGUUACACUCACUCGAAGUUCUUUUCAAAAUAUCGAAUGGUAUUUUACUUUAUGUGUCAGCGCAGUUGUGAAUGGAACGUGCAAAAGUCCAAAUUGGCGUUUUUAUUUUUCCCAUGUAGGAUGGUGACCUUUAAUAAAUAUUUAAAACAAAAGACGAAAAAAAAAAGGAGGGAAAAGGGAUCACAAAAGAUAAAAUAAUGUUUACAAAAGCUCAAUUAGUUUGCAAAUUACUGUUUGGAUUUUGAUAGUAUUUUAUUUGUCGUUCUAUAUUUGAUGUAAAAGAGAAUUUAAGAUAUUUCCGAAGCAAAAGCAUUAGUUUGCUCUGUGAUGUCCCACAUCGAAUAGGGGAGAAAGUUUCUGGCGCUAUAUAUGUAGAGGCUCCUCUUAACCAAGUAGAUGCGUUUUAAAACCAUGAGGGCCCCCUUAGGUCCAAAGCGGACAAUAUCUACAUGAUUGGGUGUAAGUCAUUACAAAUGGUAUCAGAGCCGAUCCCCGACCCCGGUGUGGGGGUUUGUUUGGCCCUGUAAGGGGUGUUUGUCUGUUUGACCCCACAAUCCCAUGGGACACAACGAGGACGUUGUGUCUGCAUGGGGGGGCGUUUGUGAUGUCCCACAUCGGAUAGGGGAGAAAGUUCCUAGUGCUAUAUAUGUAGAUGUUUCUCUUAACCAAGUAGAUGCAUUUUAAAAUUGUGAGGGCCUCUUUGGGCCCAAAGCGGACAAUAUCUACAUGGUUGAGUGUAAGUCAUUACAUGCUCCAUGUCAAUUUCAGCAUUUCUCAUAUGUUUCACACAUACACAGAAGAGCAUCGUUUUUUAAAGCAUGCAUUUAUGUUGGAUUAAUUUGGAUUUUGUGGGAACUGGGGCAAGGAUCACAUGGAAGAGAGGUUGACUUUUUUCAGUACUUCAAUGGUUGAAAUAUGUGAAGGCUUGAUUGAUACUAAAGCUUGAAAUUGCGACUCUGUCAUUUGUAAAAAAAUAUGACAGCUUCCAUGCUCUCGUUUGGUUGCAUUGUCCGGUCGAGAGGUGCAAAAAGCAUUCUCUCUCUUCUAAUAGUCUUUUCGUUUAAAUCAAGGGAUUUGCCUUCCCGGUCGAGGUCCAAUAGAGGGUAACGGUCACCUACUAAACAUUAAAUGCUCCAACAACUAGUGAACUGAUCGACCCCAGCUCGACUAGUUGAGGUUACUUUUUGGUUUUCUUGUCUCCCGAGGUUAGAAACCUAUAAAUAGAGAGCUUCACUUCAUUUAUGAGUAAGAGAACACCUAAAUUUAUUUGUUUACCUACUUGUUUUUGCCAUAAAAGCUCUCAUUUCUUUUCUUGGUGUAUUAAAUCUCCAUUUGCAUAUCCUUUAGUGCACCUUUGUGAUUCAUUCUAGCCUUGAGUUGUAUUUAAGCCUUUGUUGAGCUAGGUUGAGAGUUUCAUACUUGUUUAUUGAGUGUUAAAGCCUUCAAGUGAGUUAAAACUUGAAGAGAUUGUGUAAGAGCCCAUUGGAGUCGGAAUCCAAGUGUAAAGGUGAUUAAAAGCUUGGUUGAAGCUUCAAGUUAGUGGAACUCUCACUCGGUUAUGAGCUUGAGAAGAGUGGACAUAGACAAGGCAGUGUCGAACCACUAUAAAAUCUGAGUUUGAUUUCUCUAACCUUAUCUCUUUAUAUUUGCUUCUCUUGUGCUUAAAUUUUUUGUGUUUAAAAAGAAUUUUUAAAAACUCAAUUCACCCCCUUCUUGGGAGUUUUUCUCUUUUAAGAUCAGCUUUUAUUUUCUCAAUUGGUAUCAGAACUAUGCCUCUUGUUUAAGACUUAAUCGUCUAAGAGGAAAUGGCUAAUCCAUCAAGUUCAUCUCACAUUGAAAGUUUUGCAACCAAUAGACUUCUUUUUUUUUUUUUGCGGGAACUGAUUAUCCCUAUUGGAAAACUAAAAUGACUUGGUUUUUACAAUCAAUUGAUUUAGAUGUAUGAGAUGCCAUUGAAGAUGACCUAACUUUUCCUUCAAAACUAGUUGAUGGAGUCAUGGUUCCAAAACCUAAGCAAGAAUGGGAUGAGCGUGAUUGAAGAAAUUUUCAAUUAAAUGCUAAAGUCGUUUAUACUUUGCAAUGCUCUAUGGACAGAAAUGAAUAUAAUAGAAUAUGUCAAUGCAAAUCGGUUAAAGAAAUUUGGAGAUUGCUUGAAAUAACUCAUAAAGGAACAAAUCAAGUUAAAGAGUCAAAAAUCAAUUUACUUGUUCAUAGAUAUGAAUUGUUUUUUAUGAAAGAUAAUGAAACUAUUGUUAAGAUGAUCACUAGGUUCACCAACAUUGUUAAUGGUCUUAAAGCCUUGGGAAAGACCUACAAGGAAUCCGAAAACGUGAUGAAGAUCUUGAGGUCACUUCCAUCAAAGUGGCAUACCAAGGUCACCGCAAUUUAAGAAGCAAAAGACUUGAUCAAGCUACCUUUGGAGGAGUUCAUAGGGUCAUUGAUGACAUAUGAAAUCAAUUUGGCAAAGAAGUAACAAAAAGGUGAAGACAAAAAGAAGAAGAACAUAACUCUCAAAGCUACAACUAAGGAAGAAGAAGUUGAAGAAGAAAAACAAAUUGAAGAAGAUGAAGAUUUAGCCCUCAUCACAAGAAAGUUCAACAAAUUCAUGAGGGGUGAAAGGUUUAGAAGAAGAAGGUUCACUUCUAGAAGAGACUUUUCUAAAAAGGAAUCUUCAUCUAAUGGUGACAAAAAGAGAUGGGAAGAGAAAAGAGACUUGGUGUGUUUCAAGUGCAAGAAACCGGGACACAUUAAAUAUGAUUGUCCUCUCUACAAAAGUGAAGUCAAGAGGAAAAAGAAUAAGGCAAUGAUGGCCACUUAGAGUGAAAGUGAAGAUGAAUCAUCCGAAGAAGAAAAUGAGAAAGAAGUGGCAAACAUGUGUUUCAUGGCAAUAGAUGAACUUGAUGAGGUAAAAUCUAACCUUAGUGAUUAAGAUAUACAUGAUGCAUUUGAAGAAUUGUAUGAGGAUUUUUAAAAACUUAGUUUGAAAAAUAUUUCUCUUAAAAAGAAAGUUCAACAACUUGACAAAGAACUUAGAGAAGUAAAAGAAAAAUUUUCAAAUGUUAAAGUUUCUAAAACUCAUCUUGAAAAAGAAAAUGAGAUUCUAAGAAAGAAAAAUGAAUAGUUGAACUCCUCUCUUUCAAUCUUUUCUUCUAGACAAAAAUCUUUUGAAAUGAUUCUAACUAGCUAAAAAUGUGUUUUUGACAAACAAGGGUUAAGAUUUAAAUCUUCAAAAAAUCAAAAGUAUUUUAAAAACUAUUUUGUAAAGGAAUCCACAAGUGCAAGUCCUUCCACUACUUGCAACUUUUGUGGAAGAGAAUGGCACAUUAGUAGUACGCCCUUUAAGAAAUGGUUCUCAAAAGAAUUUAAAUGCAAAAACUAAAAAAGAUUUGGAUUGAGAAAUCCAAGGUCACUAACCCUCAAGGACCCAAAAAGAUAUAGGUACCUAAAUCAACUUGAGUUUUAUGUUGUAAGGUUCAAAGAAUGAUAAGUGGUUCUUAGAUAAUGGUUGCUCAAGACACAUGACCGGAGAUGAAUCCAAGUUUGCUUUUCUUAAAAAGAAAAAUGGAGGAUAUGUUACCUUUGGAGACAAUGCAAAAGAAAGGAUGAUUGGUCAAGGCAACAUUGGUAAUGGCACAUCCUCUCUCAUUGAAAGUGUUUUAUUAGUAGAUGGUUUCAAACAUAACCUUUUAAGCAUUAGUCAAUUUUGCGACAAAGGUUUUUAAGUGAUUUUUUAAGCAUCUCAUUGCAUCAUCAAGGAUAUUCAAAAUGAUAAAACCAUUUUCAUGGGCCAUAGAUGUGAUAAUGUUUAUGCUAUAAAUAUUUCAAAAUAUGAUGGCCAUGAUAGAUGUUUUUCAAGCAUGCAUGAUCAAAGUUGGUUGUGCCAUAGGAGAUUGAGACAUGCUAACAUAGACCUCAUUUCCCAACUCAACAAAGAUGAACUUGUUAGAGGCCUUCCCAAAAUAAUUUUUUAAAAAGAUAAAGUUUGUGAAGCUUGUCAAGUGGGAAAGUAAAUCAAAAACUCUUUUAAAAACAAAAACUUCAUUUCCACAUCUAGGCCACUUGAGUUGUUGCAUAUGGAUUUAUUUGGUCCCUCUAGGACACCAAGUCUUAGAGGAAAUUCUUAUGCAUAUGCUAUUGUGGACGACUUCUCUAGAUACACAUGAGUCUUGUUUUUUAGUCAAAAGAAUAAAGUUUUUUAUGAGUUUUCAAAGUUUUGCAAUAAGAUUCAAAAUGAAAAAGGUUUUUCAAUUACUUAUAUAAGAAGUGAUCAUGGGAGAGAAUUCGAAAAUAUUGAUUUUGAAGAGUAUUGCAAUGAGCAUGGAAUUGACCACAAUUUUUUGGCUCUUAGAACUCCUCAACAAAAUGGGGUAGUUGAAAGGAAAAAUAGAACUCUUCAAAAAAUGACAAGAACCAUACUAAAUGAAAACAACUUACCAAAAUAUUUUUAGGCCAAAACGGUUAACACUUCUUGUUAUGUUUUAAAUAGAGUAUUAUUGAGGCUCAUACUUAAGAAAACUCCCUAUGAGCUUUGGAAAAACAAAAAACCCAACAUUAGUUAUUCCAAAGUCUUUGGAUGCAAUAUUUUAUAAUAAACACCAAAGACAAUCUUGGAAAAUUUGAUGCAAAAUUGGAUGUUGGAAUUUUCCUUGGUUACUCAACUUCAAGUAAAGCUUUUCGAGUUUUAACAAAAGAACCAUGGUUGUAGAGGAGUCCAUCCAUGUUAUUUUUUAUGAAUCUCCAAGAAAGAGAGAGGAUUGAUGAUGAUUUAGGUUUGAAGACCUCUAUAGGAAGAUUGCAAAUCGAAGAUAGAAGACAACAAGAAGAAAAUGGAGAGAAUCCAAAGAAAGAAGGAUCACCAUUGGCACUACCCCCUCAUCAACAAGCGCAAGGUGAAUCAAGUCAAGAGCUUCCUAAAGAAUGGAAGUUUGUCAUCAAUCACCCACAAGAUCAAAUUAUAGGCAAUCCAUCUAGUGGGGUAAGAACUAGAUCCUCUCUUAGAAAUAUUUGCAAUAAUCUAGCUUUUAUCUCUCAAAUUGAGCCUAAAAAUAUAAAUGAUGUUUUAGAUGAUGAAAAUUGGAUAAUUGCAAUGCAAGAAGAGUUAAAUCCAUUUGAAAGAAGUGGAGUAUGGGAAUUAGUACCAAGACCUUCAAAUCAAAGUGUUAUUGGAACUAGAUGGAUCUUUAGAAAUAAAAUGGAUGAAAAUAGCAUAAUUGUUAGAAAUAAAGCAAGAUUGGUAGCCCAAGGUUUUAAUCAAGAAGAAAUGAUAGAUUAUGAAGAAACCUUUGCCCCCGUAGCUAGGUUGGAAGCCAUUAGGAUGCUACUUGCCUUUGCAUGUUUUAAAGACUUUGUUUUAUAUCAAAUGGAUGUGAAAAGUGCUUUUUUAAAUGGUUUUAUAAAUGAAGAAGUAUAUGUUGAACAACCACCCGGUUUUCAAAGUUUCAACUUUCCUAACCAUGUUUUUAAACUUAAAAAGACACUUUAUGGUUUGAAACAAGCACCUAGAUCAUGGUAUGAAAAAUUGAGUAAAUUUCUUUUGAAAAAAAUGUUUUAAAAUGGGAAAAAUUGACACAACUCUUUUUAUAAAAACCAAAGAAAAUGAUAUGCUCUUAGUUCAAAUAUAUAUUGAUGAUAUCAUUUUUGGUGCUACUAAUGUCUCUCUUUAUGAAGAAUUUUCUAAGUGCAUGCAUAGUGAGUUUGAAAUGAGCAUGAUAGGAGAACUCAACUUCUUCCUUGGACUUCAAAUCAAGCAACUAAAGGAAUGAACCUUCAUCAAUCAAGCAAAGUAUAUAAGAGAUCUUCUCAAAAGGUUCAACAUGGAAGAAGCCAAAACAAUGAAGACUCUAAUGAGCUCAUCCAUUAAGCUUGAUAAGGAUGAGAAAGGUAAAUCCAUUGACUCUAUUAUGUAUAGAGGCAUGAUAGGUUCUUUGCUCUAUUUGACCACUAGUAGACCUUACAUUAUGUAUAGUGUGUGUUUGUGUACUAGAUUUCAAUCUUGUCUUAAAAAAUCUCACUUAAGUGUCGUGAAAAGAAUCCUCAAAUAUUUGAAAGGGACAAUGGACAUAGGCUUAUGGUAUCCUAAGAGUGAUAACUUUGAAUUAAUUGGUUUUUUGGAUGCUGAUUUUGUCAGUUGUAGGGUUGAAAAAUAAAACACUAGUGGCACUUUUCAUUUCUUAAGACACUUACUUGUCUCAUGGCAUAAUAAGAAGCAAAAUUUGGUAGCUUUGUCAACAGCAGAAGCUAAAUACAUAGCAACUGGUUUAUGUUGUGCACAAAUCCUUUGGAUGAAAUAAACACUUAGUGAUUUUGAUUUAUCUUUUGAGCAUAUUCCUAUUAAAUGUGAUAAUAGUAGUGCCAUAAGUAUAUCAAAAAAUCUCGUGCAACACUCUAGGACUAAGCAUAUAGAGAUUAGACAUAAUUUUCUUAGAUAUCAUACACAAAAGGAUGAUAUAACACUUGAAUUUGUAAGCAUAAAAGACCAACUUGCCGAUAUCUUUACAAAACCUCUAAGAACAUUUUGUUGAUAUUAGAGGACAAUUAGGAGUGAUUUCUUUAUGAUCUAAUGUGAUGAAUUCUUGAUGAAUAUACUUUUUGAUUGCAUGAAUUUCAUGUCAUAUAUGCAUCAUAUAGAAAUAUACUUAGAUAAUGGUCAAAUUUCGACCAAAAAUCAAAAUUCCCAUGGCAUUAGGCAUAAAAAUUUUGGAAUUUCAACUGAAAAUGGUAGGAGGAGGAUCACAAAAUGAGAAAGUAUGCAAAAAUUGAAAAAUCAAAACGUUGACCAAGCGGUCAAUCGGACUAGACCGAUCGACUAGUUUGUCGAGAUUUAGGAUUUUUAAGAGACUCCAACGCUUCAAUUUUUGCACCGUUCUCCUCUAUUUCUUCACGGUUUCUCUGAUUUUGUCUUUUAGAGACUAAUUUGAGUGCGUUUUGGAUCAAUUGAAGCAUUUUGGAUUGGAUUUUAGGAAGAUUGAAAGUUAAGGUUUCGGAUUUGGGUCGCCUUCUCUUCCUCUCGCGUGUCACAAUCAGCUUUAGCAUUGUUCUCUUUCCAUUUUCACACACCUAGGGUUUCAGUUGUGAGCAUCUCUCUCUCUUUACCAACCACUACUCCCUUGCUUCUUCCAUAUGGCUCCUAGGCGAGAGUCCGCUACUUCUAGGGCACAAGGCAAGCACCCAACUGAGUCGUCUCAGUCAAAGGCACGUCGAAAAGUGAGAUUUGACAUUGCCUUGUUCAGUUCCAUGGAGGACUACCAACUAUACAAGCAACACUUUGCUUAGAGACGAGUAGUUCCCAAGAGAAAUAUUAAUUUUCCUCAACUUCAGCAUUUCGAAUUUAAGGGUCUAUUUACUAGGAUGGUUGGUUGUCUAUUGUCACAAUUUCGGAGCCGGUUUUCCUGACCUUAGUGCGAGUUUUUUACUCGAGGGCGACUUAUGGCAUGGGUGGCAUGAUCAUUUCUACUGUUGGAGGAGUUGAGAUCUGUCUGGACCCAGAGAGCAUCUGCCAUAUUUUCGAUAUUGCUCUGGUUGGACUCAAAGUAUACAAGUCCAAAAUGUGGCCCAUUGUGCCAGGAUUUGAGCUUAGAGAGGUCAUUCAGAGGAUUUGUGAACUUCCAGACGCCCAGGAGAUGGGCAAACCAUUGCCACACAGUUUGACGGUCAUCAACAGGGUGCUACACCAUAUAUUGUGCUCUAUCUUUCUACCACGAAGUGGACAUUGAGAUGAGGUCUCUUAUUAUGAGGCAUUCCUUAUUGACUCCAUUCUAACGGAGAGACGAAUUCAUCUACUAUGUCAUCAUUCACUAAGCCUCCUCACAGUGACAUACCACCUCAUCAGGCACCUCUUGCUCCUGACCAUGCUCCAUUGAUGGAUUUAUUUACUCAUAUUAGCUCUCUAGGCACUCGCAUGAAGGAGUUUGUUGUAGUUAGUGAUACAUGGUUCUACUCCAUAGAGGAUCGCAUGGAUCAGUAUCAGACUGGCUUCACGUCACAGUUUGAGUAUCUCCAAUAGAGGAUUGAGCAUAUUGAGGAUCACUUGAGCAUGAGAAGAUGAUGGCUUUUCUAUGCUCUGUGUUUCCACCUCCACCUCGUCAACCUUGAUUUCUUAGAGACCCAUUGUUUUCAUUUUGUAAUGUUGCCAAAAGGGGGAGAUAUUUAGGAUCUAGGACUCUAUAGGAGACUUACAUGCAUAUCAUUUUCAUAUCAUUGUUUGGAUCGUACAUAUUGGAUAGUGAUACUUUUUACUUAUAUAUGAUAUGCCUAUAUGUUUCAUGUCUUACAUUGUUUCUUAUUGCAAAUUAUCUCUAACAUGUCUUGAUUAUCUUUUUUUUAACUUCAUAAAUUUUGAUUGUUAACCCAUGAUUGGUUUGAGGGGAAGAUUCUUCUUCUCCUAGAUAACCAAGGUUUGUCAUCAUAAAAAAAUUGGAGAUUGUUAGCCCAAGGGUUCUCCUAAUCAUGUUUUGAUGAUAACAAACCAUGCUUAAGUUACUAAUUGGUUUGAAUUAUAAAGAAUUUCAAGUGUUAAUUUGAAAAUUCAUCAAAGAACCUAAUGGAUGCAAGAUCAAGAUUUUUGGAAGACCUUUAAUCAUAAGAAACAUAUGUAAGAUGAAUGCAUGGGUGCACUUAAGAUUUGCAUAUCAUUUCAUGCAUAUUUGGAAAACACGGUUUAUGCUUUAAAGUUACAUUUCCAUCAAAAUUUGAGAUCCAUCAAAUGAACCUUAGGAAAAAUGUUUUAAAAUUGGCAUAUAAUUUUACCUAAAGACCUUGCCUAAGUGUUAGAAGCAAAAGGACAAAAAAAAUAUAGGUUUUCUGGUCAAAAAUGGUGAACCAGUCAAGGCAUUGUCUAAAUCAGCUCAAUCGGCCAAGGUACCGGUCGAUCGGUUUCCCUUUCCCUGUCGAGAUCUAGUCAAGAGGUACAAAAAUCACAAUCUCUGUCUCUUUCUCUCUUUGUCUAUCUUCCAGUAGUCUUUCCUUCCCGGUCGAGGGAUUUGCCUUCCCGAUUGAGGUCCGAUUGAGAGUAAUAGUCACUUGCCAAAUAUUAAAUGCUCCAACAGUUAGUGAACUGGUCGACCCCCACCUUGCCCAGUUGAGGUUACUUUUUGGUUUUCUUGGCUCCCGAUGUUAGAAACCUAUAAAUAGAGAGUUCCACUUCAUUUAUGAGCAAGAGAACACUUGCAUUUAUUUGUUUACCUACUUGUUCUUGCCUUAAAAGCUCUCAUUUCUUUUCUUGGUGCAUUAAAUCUCCAUUUUGAUAUCCUUUAGUGCACCUUUGUGAUUCAUCUUAGCCUUGAGUUGUAUUUGAGCCCUUUUUUUAGCUAGGUUGAGAGUUUCAUACUUGUUAAUUGAGUGUUAAAGCCUUCAAGUGAGUUGAAACUUGUAGAGAUUAUGUGAGAGUCGAUUGGAGCCGAAAUCCAAGUGUAAAGGUGAUUAGAAGCUUGGUUGAAGCUUCAAGUUAGUGGAAUCCUCACUCAAUUAGGAGCUUGAGGAGAGUGGACGUAGCCAAGGAAGUGUCGAACCACUAUAAAAUUUGAGUUUGAUUUCUCUAACAUUGUCUCUUUAUAUUUGUUUAUCUUGUGCUUAAAUUUAUUGUGUUUAAAAAGAAUUUUUAAAUACCCAAUUCACCCCCCUCUUGGGUGUUUUUCUCUUUUAAAAUUAGCCUUUAUUUUCUCACAAACUAUUGUAGUAUAGUGGUUUUUAGGUGUCAUCCAUUAGGAUGAAUUGUUCUCGGUAAUUAAGGCGUGAAUGAGAGGAGAAUUAAUGAUUGUGAUUAAGUAAAAUUGAUUUGAAAAUUCAUGGUGAAAAAUCAAUUUAACAAUGGUUUCUAAUUGAGAAAAACAAUGAAAUGUGAAAUAAAAUAAAAUUAAUAGGAAAUGAAAUUCUCGAAGUUAGAAUUUUCUAAAAAACAAAUUCCAUGGUGAAUGGAUGUUGAGAUCUAAUUUUCAUCAAGUUAGAUUGAAAACCGAAAUUUUCAUAUAAACUGAUUUUUUAUUUAGUUUUAGGUCUAGAUUUAAUUUCCCUUAAAAUUAGGUUAUUUAAUCCAAGAAAUCAAUUCAAAUCAUAUAUUCAAUUCAUCUUAAAUUAUCUUCCAAUUAUUCACACAAUGCAACUAUUCAAUCUCAUCAAAUCUAGCUUUUAAGAAUUUAAUGAAUCUACCUAGUUUGCAUUGUAAUAGUCAUCCAUGACAAUUUGAAGAGAAAAAUAAUUCAAUUAAUCAAUCACUUGGAUCAAAUUACCUUUGCAAUUAAAGUUCAUUUCUCUAAUUCACCACAGAUUUUGUCUCUAGAUCCUCCUUUCUCAAAGAAAAAUGAGAUUUAGCCACACAUGAUUGGAGAUUUGGUCUCAUAAGGCAUGUUUAGCUAGUGAUAAAAUGAGAGAAAAUAAAGAAAAAUAGAGAAUUCGAUUAAGAAAGAAAAUCUAAAAAAUUCUACAAUUAGAAAUGUCCAAAAAGCUUUUUCAUGAGAAAAUCAAGUUUCUAUUUAUAGGCCAAGGUCAAGUGGACACUUGACAUCAUCUAAGAGGUCUUCCGGAAGCUUCUUCAUCAAGAAAUCUGGAGUUUAAUAAUAAAAUGGUCAUUUCACAAGAGCUCAAACAAUUUCGCAUGAUUAUGUGAAAUAAAAAAUGCAACAACAGCAAUUUACAUCUUCUUGGAGCAUUUCGCAUGACUGUGUGAAAUUUUCACAUGAUCAUGUGGAAUCGACUUGACAACUCUCAUUUAGCCUACAACAUAAUUCCACCUUUUGGUCCAUUUUUCAUAGUCAUGCGAAAUGGAAAUAUUUGAUUUUUAAGUUUUCUUUUGUCAUUUCUUUCAUUUCCUUCUCUUGAUUCCACUUCAACUACCUCCGAAUCCUGGUCCAAACCAAUUGCAUUACUUCUUUCAUUAUGCAUUUGGAUCAUCAUCAACAUUAUUUGUUCUCUUCAAUUUGAUUCAUCUCUUUUGUCACCAAUUUAUCAAAAUCAUACCUUGAAAUGACUCCAAAACUUCAUAAAACUUGUUAGUAACUCUUGCAAGGGCAACAACAUAUUAAUUAAGUGUUUUAGGCAUAGUUACUACUCAAAAGAUGCGAAACUCAUGAUAAUUAUUAUAUAAAAUAUGCUCUUUUUGAGUAGUAAUCAACUUUCUUGCAUAAGCAGACCUUUUAGGGUGGAGUACUAAAGACCAAUAUGCUUGUCCUUGUUGUAAUAAAGAAACUUGCUCUUAUUGAUUGCACCAUGGGAGAAAAUUUUGCUACAUGAGUUAUCAUCAAUUUCUUCCCACCAAUCAUAGAUUUAGACGUGACAAGAGGCCUCUUAAUGGCAAGGAGGAACUGACACUCACACUUAUACAAUUAUCGGGCAUUGAUGUGUUGCAACAAUUAGAAUAACUUACACCAAUUAUGUUGGGGAAGUCACAAAAGGCAAACAUGAAAACUAAAAGGAAAAAAGAAAAAUGUUACAUAUCACCACAACUGGAAAGAAAAAAGUAUUUACUUUCAUUUGCCAUAUUGGAAAGCACUUAUUUUACAUCAUAAUAAUUUAGACAUAAUGCAUAUUGAGAAAAAUGUGUGACAAUAUAAUUGAGACAUUGUUCAGUAUUGACGAAGAAACAAGGACAACCUAAAUAGUCAUCUCGAUUUACAAGCUCUAACUAUUAGAAAUGAGAUUCACCCAAUAGAAAGCAGGACCAAAUUUAUUUUGCUUGCAACAUGCUACUCACUCACCCCAAAUGAGAUUAAGGAAUUUUGCAAGUUUUUGAAAUCAAUAAAGGUCCCCAAUGGCUAUUCUUUCAAUAUCUCUCGUUAUGUGCAACUCAAUGAAAGGAAGAUAUAUGAGCUCAAAUUGUAUGAUUGUCAUGUCCUAAUGCAACAACUUCUCUCACUUGUAGUUCGUGGAGUUCUACAUAAGAAUGUUUGUGGAGUUAUCAUAGAAUUGCGUAAUUUUUUCAAGCAAUUGUGCUCAAAGGUGUUAGAAACAAAUCACUUACACCAACUUGAGAACAAUAUUAUUGUCAUACUAUGUAAAAUGGAGCAAAUAUUUCUUCCAUCAUUCUUUGAUAUUAUGGUGCAUUUACUUGUGCAUCUAGUAAGGCAAAGGUUGCAAGACUUGUGCAAUAUUGUUGGAUGUACCUAAUUGAACGAUAUUGUUAUAAUUUCAUAUGAAUCAUUUAAUUUUAUUUUAUAUUAUGUUCAGUUCAUUAACAUGUACAUUGGUCUACAUAUGGAUGAUGAUAGGUACCUAAGCACUUUAAAGUCAUAUGUGCGUAAUAGAACUUUUCUAGAAGGUUCUAUUGUAGAAAGGUACCUUGCAAAAGAAUGUACAACAUUUUAUUCUAGGUACUUGAAUGAUGUGGAAAUAAAGUAUAAUCACAAUGAUAGAAACUUUGUUGGUUUCAACACUAGAGGAGAUGAAAGGGGUUAUCUUUAAACAUAUUGGACAUGCAUUGGGAAAGCCCAUAUUUCAUUAACUUAGUUCAAAAGAGUGGUCACAAGCACAUUUAUAUGUGUUGACAAAUUGCGAAGAUGUCAUACCAUUCAUUGAGUAAAAAAUUUAUUUGAAUUUUAAUUAAAGCUCUAGUUUAUAUCCUUAAUCAAUGUUUUUUAAAUUCACAAGGAGCACAAGCAAACCAUCAAGGCUAGACCACAUAUACGUGUUUGAGACGUAGAUUUAAUUCAUAACAAGGAAUUUAUCAAGUGGUUUGAAAGACAUGUAAGUAUAUUCCUUAUUAUAAGGGAUUUAUUUCACAUUAUGUUUAUAUUGAAUCCAAACCUAUUAUUGAAUUGUAGGUUGAACAAUUACAUAAUGAAGGUCAUAUAUCUGAACACCUUCUCACAUUAUCAUGUGUUCCAAAUUCAUUAGUUACAUGCUUCAAAUGAUAUAUUGUCAAUGGAUUUAGAUCCCACAUUAAAGAACGUGAUAAAAAAGUUUUUAAAAAAAGACUCAGAAUAAUGGAAUUGUUGUAGUUGCAAAAACGUCAAGCUUUACAAGUGCAUGUGAUAUGAGUCCAAUUAUUAGUGAUGCUCUCUACUAUGGUGUUCUAACUAAAGUUGUUGAGUUACAUUAUCUUGGUGAAAAUAAGGUUGUUUUAUUCGAGUUUGAUUGGUGGGAUGUUACAAAUAUUGGAAAAUUGAUAAAAGAUGAUGAGUACAAUUACACAUUUGUUAACUUUGCAUGAAUUCUAACCACGAACGAACGAUUUGUACUUGCAUCUCCAGCAAAGUAAGUGUUCUAUGUGAAGAAUGCGAAUGAAUCAGAUUGGCAUACUAUCAUGGAGAUGCAACCUCAAGACCUCUAUAAGAUGAACGGGAUAGGAUCCAAUGGUGAUUUUGAACCAUUUCAACAAAGUGAACUACAUGAUCACUAAUAUAUCUCAGAUUUAGUUGAUGAAGAUAUAAUCAAGUGGAACAAAAGUGAUGUUUUAGGACUAAUCAUCCUAAAAAAUAUUGUAGUUUCUUAAAAAAAAAAUGAAAAUGAAGAAGAUAAUUGAACCUUUGUCAUACUUUAAAAAGCAACUAUGCAUUGUUCAUUUUGUAUGUUUUGGUUUUCUUCAUUUAAUUUCCUGAUUUUUGUGAUUCAAUGUCAUAUUAUUGAUCUUGAAAUAUUUUUCUAAUUUUUCAUUCUACGAUGGUUUCAACAAGGAUGACAUCAAGUCAAAAAAGGAAAUGUGGUCCCACACACAAUAUUGCAUUACAGGGAUUAAGGUCAGGGAAGAAGGUAAAAGUUGCAUUUAAUGAGUACAAUCAAUUGGUUAAACAGAAAAAUGGAAAACACUUAUCGAGCUACAUAGGGACACUUGUAUCUAACCAACACAAUGUACCUCUCCAAGCUAGUGAUUGGAAAAAUGUUCCAAAUGAUGCAAAAGAGAAAGUAUGGCCUUUGUUUUGGUAUGUUGUAUUUCUCACUAUAUGAUGUCAUUUCACUGUUAUUCUAUUUUGUGACUAACGUUUGAAUCAUAUGUAAGAAAAAUUUGAAGUAGAUAAAGACUGAAAAGAUUACAUGUUGGGUAUAGCCUCAAAUAAAUAUAGAAGCUAUAAAAAUAUGAUGAAUGCAAAAUACUAUGACCCUUGGCAUAAGGAUGCAUGAGGAGAGGUUAAUACAUAAAUCACCAUUUGUCUCUGAUGUUGAUUGGAAGUGGCUUGUCUCUGAUGCAUAAACCAAAUCCCCCACUGAAUGUUUGAUAUUUGAUAGCAGGAAAAACACACCCGCAGCUAUACACCUCCAUCAUUCAGAUAAUUAUAGUGGGGGAGAUGAUUCAUGGUUGCCCUUAUACCCUUUAUUUGCACCAUCUAUUGAGAUUCUUUAUCAUGGCCAGGUUUUACUGCAGCAAUAAGAUAUGGUGGCAACAAUUUUAUCUAUAGGUGCGGUUCCAGACCGCCUCCAUAGGUGCGGUUCCUGACUGCCUCCAUAGGUGCCUCUUCUUGUAAUGUUUGUUCUGGGAAUUACACUUGAAAGCCUUAUCGUGAUAAGGGAUUACAAACACUAGUUCAGAGGACAGCCAUGUUAAACUUCCACUAUGUUUGUGUCACAUUAUCAGCAGCCUAGUGUUUAUUGGUCAUGCUAUCUGCAACUAAUAUAACCCGGUGAACUUCAAUCUAAAUUCUGAAAGUACUCAUGUGACAGAUGGUGCCUUUCAGCAGAUAUCAUCAAUUUAAAAGUAGUGUGUGUGCCUAUAGGUGGGAAGGCCUUGGCAAAUGUUCAGUAUUCCGGUAAUUCAAGAAGGAUAUAUCUAAAAUAGAUUUUCUUCUUGCCCAUUUCAAUAGUUAAAAUUUGAGAAGAUUGUGUCCACAUCACACAAAUAUUAUUGGUCCUUCUGUUGCAAUUUACCUCUGAACAUGUCUUCCAAUUCCCACGGUCCUGUUACUCCAGGAAAACUAUUUCGGUCAUAUUGAAAAAAAAAAUAUUAAAGAAGGUACACAUGCUUUUAAGUGGACUGGGGCAUUCAUAUCAGGUGGUCUGUAUCCACAUAUGCCACUUCGUGAAAGGUGGAACAGCCUAAUCACUAGGCUAUUUAGUGUGGCCCAGCCACGUUAAUCAAGCACAAGUCUUCAUACUUAAAGUCAAAUGGUGUCUUUAGUCUCAUUACACAUCGCUAUUUGAAGAUUAACUCAUCACUAGUGUAAUGCGAUUAAGACAGUCCUAACUCAAUAUUUGUUCUAGUUUUGGAUGCAAAUGCUUGCUGGUUUCAUCAUUGGAUGGGAUAAAGGUGCAAUCAGGACUAUGAAUACGUGCAGUAAUACUUCAUUCUCUUUUUUCUCAAUGAGACUUCUUGGCACAAUUUUGCUGCUCAGCAACCUACCUUUCCAUGGAAAAUCAGUUGUGACUGAUAGUAAUGGAUAUAUUCUAGAAAGCUAAACAUAGAUAGCAUUCAAUAUUAUCGAUAUAACAUUAACAGCGUAUGUCUCAAUGCUCAUCAGCUACAAGCAAUGGACAAACACUUUGAGUAACUCACAGCAGUCAAAAUUCCUAAACAGGACAGACGUGACAGAUCUAUAUAUAGAACACUGCAUAUGAGUCACAGGAAAAGAUAAUACGGGUACAUAGAAGCUCUUAUUUUACAUAUUACUCAUACUGAUCAAAGUCGCUCAGUUGGGAUGGAUGGGAGAAGGAGGUUUGAGGGGUGGCUUGUGCGGGGAAGUUGGCAGCUUCUUUCCGGGAGCUGGUUGCUUCUUUGCUGGAGUUGAAGGAGGCUUAAUCUUCCGAGGUGGCUUGUAUGAGUCUUCAGCAUUCUCAGCAGGAGGGUGACCAGGGUUGUGACCAUAAUGUGGUGGCUUCUCUCCCUUAGGUGGUUUGCCAACUGGGGUUGGUGGCUUGUUUUCUGGGAGUGGCUUCUCUCCCUUGGGUGGUUUGCCAACUGGGGUUGGUGGCUUGUGUUCUGGGAGUGGCUUCUCCCCCUUGGGAGGUUUUUCGAAUGGGGUGGGUUUGUGUCCUGGUGGUGGCUUCUCUCCCUUGGGAGGUUUACCAAUUGGGGUCGGUGGCUUGUGUUCUGGGAGGGGCUUCUCUCCCUGGGGAGGUUUAGUGGGUGGCUUGUGUUCUGGAGGUGGCUUCUCCACCGGAGGCUUAUGCUCUGGUGGUGGCUUCUCGAAGGGGGGAUGCUCAGGGUAAUCACCAAGUGAGGGGGUGGUGAGAACCACCAUGCCAAGCAACAACACUAGCAAGUAUGUAGUAGACAUCUUUGGGUUUGGACUCAGACAGUGCAAAACUACGAGAAAUCGCUAGCCCUUUAUAGCGGCUCGGACCUAAUACUGACAUAAUAUAAAAUAAAUAUUAUAUUUUAUCAAGAGAGAACAGAGUGUAAUUUUAUCAUUAAUACCGAUCGAGGCCAAAGAAAGAAGACCCAUAAUCCAUUUCCCACAAGCAUACACAAUGCAGCUGUAAUUUUAUCAUUUACUUUUAUCCCUUGGACCACUGCAUUUUUGUUGAGAGACACAAUAACACAUUUUUAUCUGUCAUUCAACAUUUACAGUAAAGAGAGGGCACAAAACGCAAUUAGAUAAAUUAUGUUUUGCCUGCUAAAAAGAGGCAAAUAACUUUAUUUGCAACAUAAUUAUUUUGGUUUCUAGUGACCCCGGGGCCUUUCGGUUGGUUUGGGAUCGGAAAAUGAACAUCAUAGGGGGGGUUGUGCCCUUAUGGGCAUAUAUAUCUGAUAGCUUCAACUGGCCUUGUUCCUAGAAAGAAAUUGCCAAAGAUAUAAACUUAUUCCAGGCUGAAAGUAGAUGAGAGUCAUAAUGAACAUCAACCUUUGUUCAGUUUGAUUCAAUGCCCCCAUAGUGUUCAUUUCACAGAUCUGAAUGAUUAUAUCCGUUGAAUACAUAAAUUAAUGAAGACAAAUAUGAAACCCAAGAUACAUCUCUGCAUAACAACCCCAACCCUGGUUGCUAUGUUUCCCUUCUUCUAUUCACAUGAGGAUACUGGUUAUAAUUGUCAAACUUGCAACAAGCCCUUUGACACCUAACGUCAAUGGACGAAUUAAAAGUCUCCUUCAAACGUCUAUUUCACAGCAUGAAGCUUAUAAAGGAUGCUGACAACCUUCAGAGUUAGCGACAAAAGAUAAUUAUCAAGGAGAGAUAGUUCCAUGAGAAUUCCAAGGAGUCUGAAUCAAAGACAAAUUGCUCACUCAAGGGUUCUUAUUUUCUUUUAGGUACAAAUCUCUUGAGUGUUGUUAAAGAAACACGUCACUGUCAUUUUGAUUUGCAUUUAACAUUUCACUUUUGUUCUGGAAGGUUUGUUCCGGAAACAUAUCAAAUGAGCAUCAUUUUCUUCUUCGGUGACACAUGGUCGCGAGUACGUGGGUCCAUUUUCAUGCCACUUAGUUGAAAAGUUGGAAAGAAAAAACAUGCCAACAAGAAGAUAGUGAGAGAAGGGGCACUUCAAGCCUUUAACAUGAACAAACAGUAAAUAAAAGAUGUUUCUCCACUCAUAAAAGUGUGUUAGAUAGCAAUAUAACGAAUCACAUCCAAAAUCUUUACUAGGCUCAAACAUAAAGAAGACUCAUUUUUAAGAAAAGAUAAAAAUGGCAUUGUCUGAUAGUAUCCAAUACACGAGAUGGCACUUAAUUUGUACAAGAUCUGUCAAUGCUGACGCACAUUUUCUGAUUAAAAAAAAACUGAUCAGUCAAAAGCAAUGAAGAGAAGUGAUGACAAUGAAUGAUGCUUCCAAUAUUUUCACCCCUUAUAGUGUUCUUCAUGAUUCAGAUAUAUAAUUGGAAAUAGAACAACCCUAUGCCAUACAUUCGUCUAAGUAUGGUGUCUAAUUUUUUGUGUCAGCGGUUGCGAAUGGAGCGUGCAAAAGUCCAAAUUGGCGUCUCUCCAUUUCCACAUAGGAAGGUGACCUUUAUUGACAAAUACCCAAUAUUUGUAGACAUUCCUUAAAUAUCAUAACUUCUUGUUGAUUUGAAAAUCAUUUUUCAACUACCAUGUUUUAAUAAAUAUUUUUUAAAAUGUAUUUUUAUCAAAGUCCACCAUGAUGGAUAAUAUUCACCAUGCAAUAAUUAAUAAAGUACAAACUAAGCGAAAUGAAAAGCAUUUUCUUUGCUUUGAGUUGAUUUUGGUUGCAUUGAGUUGAUUUUGGUUUCAUGGUUUUUUCAACUCUUAUUUUGAUUGGAAGAUGUCAAGAAAAGAAAACAUAAAGAAAAAUUAAAAGGGAAAAAAGAAGAAAAAUAAAAAAAAAUAGAUUUAAAAGUUAAUAAAUUAUUUUUUAUAUUUAUUUUAAUUCAUUUCACUUAUUUUUCUUUUACUAUAUAAAAUUUAAAUAAUUUAAAUUUUAUAAUUAAUUUAAUUACAUUUCAUUUUCUUCUAUAUUUAAAUAUUGGAAAAAUAUUUUACUUAAUAUUUUUUUCUUUAAUUUCUUUGGCAUUUUGGGAACCAAACUUAGCCUUUAAAAUAAAAAACAAAAAAAAAAUGAAAAUAAGGAGGGAAAAGUGAGAAAAGAUAAAAACAAUAUGUAAAGGAUUUGAAAAGUAUUAGUUUGUAAUUACUAUUUGGAUUUCAAUAGUAUUUUAUUUGUCUUUCUAUAUUUCAUGUAAGAGAGAAUUUAAGAUAUUCCCCAAGGCAAAGCAUUAGUUACCUGCAAUCAGUGGUGAUAAGGCUCCAAGCCAAUUUUGGGCCCCAUAUCUUAAGACAGUACAAUUUCCAUUUCAACAUUUCUGAUUUCUCAGAUGUUUCACAUACCACAGAAGAACAUUGUUUGUGAAAAUAUGCAUUUAUGUUGGAUUUUGUAUGCUGUGGGGACUGGGGCAAGGAUCAUAUGGAAGAGUGGUUGACUUUUUCUGUACUUUAACGGUUGAAAUAGGAUAAGCACGGGCAUUUGUGAGGCUUAAUUGAUUUUGAAGCCUGAAAUUGCGUUUCUGUCAUUUUGUCAAAAAAAUGGCAGAUUCCAUACUCAUAUGUUUGGCCUGUGGCCAUGUACAGAUGCCAUUUAGUGACCAGUUUGUAACUGUCAAUCGUUGCGUUUUGACUCUGCCUCAACAACAUCUGCCAUUGACGGGUUUUCAUACUUGCAAAUCAAAUAGUCUUUCGUCCCAUCAGGAAUUUCGGUUUAAAUAUUAUUAAGCAUACGUUUGGCUGACAAUCAUUAUCCAGUUCAUGAUUUGGUUUCUUACCCUUAAUCAAUGGUUUCUAAGUGAAUAUAUGUAGAAGGAAAUCCGAAGUGUAGACAGUAGUAUCGAUAACUCUCAAUAUUCUCUAUAUAAUAGAAUAAACAGCGUCAUAGUGAUCGUCGCCUACAAGCAAGGUACAAAUACCAAAACGAGUGACUCACAUAGACAUCUCCCAACAAGAUGUAGUAGUGACUGACACAUGGACACAAUUAACUCGUAGAAAAGGAUAAGACCAUUGCACAGCAGCUCUUAUUUUACAUACUACUUAUGCUAACCAAAGUCAAUUAGUUGGGAUGGGUGGGAGAUGGAGGUUUGUGCGGUGGCUUGUGGGGCGGAGUUGAUGGCUUCUUUCCAGGAGCUUCUGGCUUUUUCAUCGGAGCUGAAGGAGGCUCAAUCUUAUGAGGCGGCUUGUAUGAGUCUUCUUUACUCUCGACAGGAGGGUGGCCAGGGUUGUGAUCAUAAUGUGGUGGCUUCUCUCCCUUAGGUGGCUUGCCAACUGGGGUUGGUGGCUUGUGUUCAGGAAGUGGUUUCUCUCCCAUGGGAGGUUUAGCAAUUGGGGUUGGUGGCUUGUGUUCUGGGAGUGGCUUCUCUCCCUUGGGAGGUUUAGUAGGUGACUUGUGUUCUGGAGGUGGCUUCUCCACCGGAGGCUUGUGCUCCGGUGGUGGCUUCUUGGUUGGAGGGGGCUUGGGGUAAUCAGCAAGAGAUGGGGUGGUGAGAACCACCAGUCCAAGGAACAACACUAGCAAGUAUGUGGGAGACAUUUUUGAGUUUGGGCUGAUCAGAUGAUGCAAAACUAAAGCAUUACGUGACCUUUUAUAGCAUGUAGCUCCCAAUACCCACUAAGUAUUGUGGGGUCCAUUUGUGCCCUACGGGGUUGAAAACUUAGACAAUUGGGCAAGGACCCACCUGACUAUGGAGGACUAGUGAGGUGUGAUCAUAGCUUUAGGAUUUUUCUUCCUCUGCAGCCGUCGUGCCGUUGGCAUGAUUUUCUUAAUCUUAAAUAAAGGCAUAGUUAUAGAGUUGUUUAAUCUCUAAAUGGGAUUUUAUAUAUAUCUUCAGAUAGCCAUUAAUAUAUUUGAUGAAGAAAGAAAGACAAGUGCAUACAACAUGUAUACGACUAGCUUUCAUGGAGUUCAUUUAUGAUCAGUUUUCCUGUACAUGUAAACCAGGAUCAUAUAUAUGUUUCUGUUCCACAACUAUUUUGGAAUCUUGUUUAUCAGUUUUUAUCAUUAUAAUGUCACAUAGGCUGCCAACUUGGGCGCUAAAAGAACCAGUUGGGCUAGUUCGUUUCAGAAUUUCAAUGUGGAUUCAGGAAUUGUUUUGUAAGAUAUGCGAAAUAGUAGAGGGAUGAAUAGUGUUUCAUUAAUAAAAGUGUCCUGUAAAUUAGAAGGUGUCAUAGAAACUAUAAUCAAUAAAUAACUUUUUUUCCCCACGGGUGGUGUUUCUUGUGGGGAUCAGUGACUGGUUUAGGUUCACCCAAAAUGAGUUCAGACUAAAAUUGGUUUGAGUCAAUGCCGUGUCUCUUUUUUCCAGAAAUCAACUAUUUUAUGCAUUGAAUAAAUCAUACAAAGAAAAUAUGAACGCCCGCAAAACCUAAACCCUGGUUGCUAACUUUCUAUGUUUCAGUUCUAUUCACGCAAGAAUAUUAGUUUAAGUUUGGGAAAAAUGGCAACUUACCUAGUGAUUACUUGGUUUUGGUUUGCGACUAUUUACGCAACCAACCAUGAGUUUGACUUUAACGUCAUGGGUUGAAGCCUCCUACAGGAAGGGAGAAAGCUCCACAGCUAGCUCCAAAAGAGAAUUAUCACAUUGAUAGCUCCAGAGAUUCCCAAGGGGACUGAAUCAAAGACAAGUUCCUCACUUUUUCUUCUUUUGAGGCCAAAUAUGAACCAAGGAUCACACAACCUCAUUCAACUUCAUAAGUUUGAUUUCAUGCAGUUGAACACUGGGUGAAGGCCAUGACAAGAAUUGAUUCAAAAAUUCUAUCACUCUUUUAAGUAAUGGAAGAUUAUUAUCUCUGAUUGGCAUCACAACAGCACAUGCUCCUAGAUCUUUCUAGACACUCCAUGCAAUGAAAGCACAAUGGAUCUUGUAACGAUAGAAACUAAGCCAUGCUACAGUACUAGAUGAUGAGGUAAAACUAGUAGACACGGGUGGCAGCCUAUAUGGGAGGGACACAAGUCUAAUUGAUUUGCAUUUCAGCAUUAUAGAUAGGUAUGUUUUGGAAGAUUUGUUCUGGAAAUACCGCACCAAGUAGGAUUCUUUUUCUCUUUAGUGGGUCCACUUGCAUGCCAAUUAACGAGUUGAAAAGUAUGAGCACCUACCUCGUGCUCGUGGAACCGAAGGUCAGUGAAGUGGGGCUCCUUUUGGCCUCGUGUAAACUUGAUUCAGAAGUGAAGUUAAUAGUCUUCCAUUCAGAUGGAUACAUGGGAAUUUUUCUCUUUUAUUUAUUUAUUUAUUUUUUUUUUGUGUGUGUAUGUCAAAGGAUAAUGAAUGAAGCGCGUUAGCUUGUUUUCUGACUGGAACCGCAGAUGUCCAAAUUGGAGUUCCUUCAUUUCUUACUUAGGAUUGUUACAUGUAUAAACAAGGUAUAAGAAAUAUGCCAACGUGUCUUGAGGAGUUAUUGAUUAGAAAUAACAAGUCACCCGACUGUAGAGUUCCAAGAUUUGAAUCUUCAGACCCUAUAGCAGCCUCUGGGGUACGUGGCAUCCUAUAGCAUAUUAAUGAAGGCUUUUUCGAUUUAGACUUCACAAUACCAAUUAAUAUGUAUGCACAAAAUGGAGAUGACCCCAAAAAAAACAGAAUCGCCAUAGUUUAUGAGGUUAAGGUGAUUCUCCACUUAAUAUCUACAUUAGCUAAUUAUGUAAAUCAAAUGAACUUCUAUUUUUCCUUUUUUUUUUUGGUUUAUGUCAAAUAGUAGCCCAUAAUUAACCCAACCAUUAGCCUGUUUGAAUUGAUUUCACAUGCACAAUGUUGUAGUAGUUCAUAUUUUGAAUUUUAUUUUUACAAAGGUAGUUAAGGAAAAUGAAGUAUAAUAAUUAUAAAAGCAGACUAUAUACACUACAAUAAUUGUUAGAAUGGUAUCUCAAAUUCUAAUUUAAAAUAUUAUUUUUUGUAAAAGAAAUAUUAUAUAGAAUAUUUCCUAAUUUUAUAAAUGAUUAUAAUUAGAUCUUUAUAAAAUAAGGAAAGUUGGUAAGAAUAUCUUUAUAAAUAUUUUAGGUCAUGAGAGAAAGAAAUGGGAUAAAAAUGUGAUGAAGAGGUGAAAUAAGAGAGUUGAUUAGGAUAUAGAUGUGAAGAAGAAAGGGAUUCAAUAUAUAUAUAUCUUUCAAUUACCACAUUAAAACCCUGUGAACCUUUUAUAUGGUUUACUUUAUUUUUAUAUUCCUCCUUUAAUAUAUUUACAUUAAUGCUUCCAUUGGCACAACAAUAACGAAUUACAAAUACAAGCAACAAGUCCCAUGUUUUAUUACCAAAAGCAGGUAAAAUCCACCUAAUAUAUUACAAUAUAUUCAUCCAAUAUUUUAGACCAAUUCUUCACCAUAAAUAUCAUAAUGUGGCUUUUGUUCUUUCUUAAAUUUAAAUUGAAUUGUCUUAUAUCAAUUUGUUUGUGAUUUUUUCAUUAACUUCACUUUCAUUUGGUUAUCUUUGGUUUUUGAAAAGUAUUAAGGAAUUAAUUAACAAAAUAAUGUUAAGAAAAAUAAUUUUCUCUCUUUUGAUUUUGAUUUUGUAGUAGAAAAAUAUAAUUAAAAUUAUUUAAAAAGUAUGUAAUUUUAAAUUAUUUAAUAUUUAGAUAAAAAAAAUAAGUCUAAUGAGUUUAAAAUAACAUAUAAAAAUAAUUUAUUUAUUUUAAAUUUAUUUUUUAUUUUCCAUUAUGUUCUCUUUCUCUUUUACUUUUUCAUAUUUUUUCUUACGAAGAAUCAAACACAACCUCAUAUUAUAUGUCAAGUGUUUGUCUAUAUUUGAGCAAUGUUAGAUACGGCCAUGGAUUCAUCAAACUAAACUGAUUUUAAUAGAUACUUCACAAAUUGAUUUAUACACUAAAUCAUUGGAUAGCAAUGAUGCAUUGGAAUUAAACGUAGGAUGAAGCUCGAAGAACACUGUUUGUGUAACAACAUAUUUAUGAAAUUAUGCAAAGGAUGAGCUUCGGGGUAGUAGUACAAGGUCAUUAAUGGAGAGCCGUGUUAAACCUUGAUUGUGAUUGGAUUCCGUUAUCAGCAACAGCAACCUUGUUUGUAACCUUGAAAGUCAUUCUGUCCACAUCGAAACUCCAAUUUGACGUUUGUAAUUACCAUUCCUGGAGUGUUCCUUGAUUGAAAUUUAAAUAAUAAUUGCGGCCCACAAGGAAUAUUUUCGAUUCUGUGGGAAUUUGACAAGGUUUGUUAGAGAAGACUGGUGACAUGUUGACUUCAAUGGUUCAAAUAGGAGACGUAUGUGGAUUUGGGGGGUUUAAUUGAAACUGAGUCCCUAUGGCUUUUUAAUAUUUGCAUUGAGCAGUCUCCAUGUGACUUCCUAAUUCCCACCAACCCUCCUGUCCAUGCUGUGAAACUAAAUUGUAAUUUAUCAGCCUUUGUCAAUGGUUUCUAAAUUAAAGAUAUAGACCAUGCAUGUACUUUAAUAAAAGCAAAUCUAAAGUGUAGAUAGCAGCAAUGGUGACACCCAAUAUUCUCCAUAAAAUAGAAUUAGAAUAAGCAGUGUUACAUUGUUCAUGAUCACCUACAAGCAUACAAGAACUUCCAUGAAUAACUCAUAGCAAUUGCCAACAGGGCGUCGUAGAGACUCAUACAUAGAACACUAUCCACCCAGAGGAAAGGACAAGACCAGUGCGCUGCAGCUCUUAUUUUUCACAUGUAUACCACCACUCGUAAUAACCAAAUUCACUCAGUUGGGAUAGGUGGGAGAUGGUGGUUUGUGGGGUGGCUUGUGGGGAGGAGUUGGAGGAGGCUUUAUUUUCUGAGGCGGCUUGUAUGAGUGUGCAGGAGGAUGCCCGGGAGUGUGACCAUAAUGUGGUGGCUUCUCUCCCGUAGGUGGUUUGCCAAAUGGGCUUGGUGGCUUCUCUCCCUUAGGAGGUUUACCAAUUGGGGUUGGUGGCUUGUGUUCUGGGAGUGGUUUCUCUCCCUUGGUAGGUUUGCCAAUUGGGGUUGGCGGCUUAUGUUCUGGGAGUGGCUUCUCUCCCUUGGGAGGUUUGCUAAUUGGGGUUGGCGGCUUAUGUUCUGGGGGCGGCUUCUCUCCCUUGGGAGGUUUGCCAAUUGGAGUUGGCGGCUUAUGUUCUGGGAGUGGCUUUUCUCCCUUGGGAGGCUUGCCAAUUGGGGUUGGCGGCUUAUGUUCUGGGGGUGGCUUCUCUCCUUUAGGAGGUUUGCCAAUUGGAGUCGGCGGCUUAUGUUCUGGAAGUGGCUUUUUUCCCUUGGGAGGUUUGCCAAUUGGGGUUGGCGGCUUAUGUUCUGGGGGUGGCUUCUCUCCCUUGGGAGGUUUGCCAAUUGGAGUCGGCGGCUUAUGUUCUGGGAGUGGCUUCUCUCCCUUGGGAGGUUUUGUUGGUGGCUUGUGUUCUGGAGAUGGCUUCUCCCCUGGAGGCUUGUGCUCCGGAGGUGGCUUCUGAAAUGGCGGGGGCUUGGGGUAAUGAGCAAGAGAUGGAGUACUGGUGAGAACCACCAUUCCAAGCAACAAUACUAGCAAGCAUGUGGGAGACAUCUUUGAGUAGUUGUAGCUAAGAUGGCGCAACACUGUAGGCAUUGGGUGGCCUUUUAUAAAGGGCUGGACCCAACAGCCAUAUGACACGUGUCAUGAUGACAAAUGAAGUUGAGGGGAUCCAGAUGGGUCCUACUGAGUCGAAAACUUGCACUAAUUGAUCUGGUGAGAUGACUAUUUCUGUCCUUUUGCCCUUCUCGGCCACCCUGUGCUGUUUUCCUUUUGCACGAUUUUCGUUGCCAAACAAGCAAAUAAUAUUUCGCCAAGAAAGAGGAGAGUGAAUGUGGAAUGCAUCAAGUCCCAUCAAGGAUGGCAGAGAAGAAAUAGAAGAUUGCCCAACUGUGAUAAACAUAGCAUACACGUAGCACCAGGAACUUCAUUUACUUCCAUCUAAUGGAACAUAACAAUCUUCUAAAGUUUUUGCAUGAUUUUGUUAUAUGUCUCUUAGCCUAAAGUUGGAAAUGCGCAACAAAUUUUGUCACUUCUCUAUUUCCCACUGAUGAUGUUAAUUAGCCUUCAUAGAUAUCAUCCUUUCUACAAAGUGCUUCAUUUGUGUGUUAUUGUAAAGUGUAAGAAAAGUAAUUGAACAUGUUCUUUUUCCUUUCAUAGAUGACUUUUGAUGUGCAUUUUAAAAGCAGCGCUGUGAGUCGGUGACCUUGAUUCACACGGAAACUAAGGCUCCUAUAGGACCCACUUUUAGCUGGUUAGGGGUGAAGAAAAUAUCAACUUUUCAGAGUGAUUUAAGUCAAGGCCAAGCCUCACUGUGUCAUUACUCGUGUGAAUUUUAUAUGCACAUACAUACAUAAAUAAAGUAUGAGACCCAAAUAACACCUUCCCUUUACAAACUUAACCCCAGCCGCUCUCUUUCAAUUCUUUUCACACAAGGGUAUUGACUCUAUAAAGGUCAAGAAAAUCAUAAUUUCCUAGGGUUUACAAGGUAAUUGGCUUAAUGCUAAUGUGAAAACAUAAAAGAUAAUAGUAUAUUGUAAGCUAACGAAUAUUCUAUAGUUAUAAUUAUUUGUGAUGUGCAUAAAUAAAUCUUCAUAUAUAUAAUGGAACAAUGAAUAAAGAACCAAUGAAAAAAUACUAUAUAUCAUUGCUUGGCAUUUAAACCGUAUAUGCUGCUCUUUCUAGCUACUCCAUCCACUGAAAGACAACAAGGUAAUCCAUGUUAUAAUGAUAGAAGAUACUGUCUCUAGGCUUUUUGUGAUGAAAAAUAUAAGAUAUGGGUAGGGUUGACCCUUGUAUGUUUGUCCUAUAAACACUUCAAAGUAACAUAUUUUUCUUCUUUAGCAACUCAUAAUGAUGGGGUUCAUUUGCAUGUCACUGAGUUGAAAAGUUGGACAAUUGCCCAUGUCGCCUUCCUCCUAGAUUCCGUAGUUCACGGGAAGGUAACUCAAGUUUGACAUAUUUUGAAUUCUUUUCACUCGGACGUCUUCAUAACCUGACAAAACAAAAAUGAAAAACAGAGGAUUGGUAUAUUAUUCAUGGUAAGCCUCAAAUUAUAGUAGUAUGAGAAAGGAGAAAAAGAUUUUGGGAACUCCAAUCUGGAUAAUUCUCGUUUCUUCUCUUGAAUAAAAAUUUCACUUACCUAACUUCGUUUGGAGAAAUGGCAUAUUUUAAUUUUGUACGUCAUUGCUAAUAAAUGGAGCAAUUUAGCAUGUUUUGUGACUGAAACUGCAAAUGUCCAAUUGGCAUUUCUUCAUUUCCCACUUAGGAUCUGAUCUUGUAGACCAUAUAACGAUAUGUAUCUGUGCAAGCAUUGAAAACUAAUGUGAACUAUGAGGAGUUACAAGCCACUGGACUGUAGAGCGAGUGCCAAGAUUUAAAUCUUCAGGCUCUAUCUGGGUAAGGGGAGGAUAGCGACCUAACCUUUUACCAAAGGCUUAGAAUUUAGACUUUUGGAAAAAAAUUUCUCAUGUUUUGGCUGGAUUUCUUGUGCUUGGCGCAAAAAGGAGAUGGCCUCAAGAAAUAGCAGACUCACUUUUGUUUUCAGCCCUUAAUAAUUCUCCACUGCUUUCCAUAACUACAUGGGUUAUACAUGCAGUCUGCUGCAAUAUUCCAGUUAUAUUUAUUAUUUCAAAGAGGGUGAAUGACUUCACAUGCAAUAUGUUGCAGUAACAACCCAAAUUUUGGCACACCAUCUUAAGAAUAGAAAAGUAUAAUAAAAGAAAUCAAUCAGAGAAUCACUUUGCAUGCAGUUCAUAGAGUUCGCCCAAAAUGGAGCCACAUGUACGGACAACCCCACAAUAGACAAUCUUCUCUAUACAGUAAUAAAAUACAGAAAUGGUUAAUGAAGCUCUGUAUUUCCUUAUCAUAUAUGACCGGUUGAAAACUCAGCAAGUCUUCCUCAAUCACAGACAGUUGGAGUUGCUUCAUCAAAAUCAUGCCUUCAUUACUGGCUUCAUUUUGGUUUCAAUGUCUGUUCUACCCUUAAAUUGGGUCUCUGCUUACUACCGGGAUAUCCUUUAGCGUCCUGCAAUUCUACUAGAUUAAAGAGAAUGACUUAAUUCUGCAUUCUGCCGUCCCUAGUCCAAGUGGUACUAGAAUUGAUGUUUCCUUUAGUGUCCUUUCUUCAUACUUUCAGGUUCUUCCCUUGUUUCAAUAAUGCUGUUUUCCUUCAUGUUUAACCUCUGUUGAACCACUUAAAACAACACAAUUUGCACACCAAUGUUUCUUUACAGAAAAGACUGUUUGCAAAAAUGCACAUGUUAUAAGGUUAAUGGAAGAAUUAAUUUGGGGAUAAGGGACUAGGAUUGGGCCAAUGAAGUUUGGUGUUAAAUUUUGAUUAUGAUUGCUUUUCAUUAUCAGGUACCUUAUAUUUGCUGAUGCUAUCUGGAACUAAAUUCAAAUCAGACAUUAUCCGAUUACUAACAGGACAUAUCAUGUCCCUCUGCAGAGUUUCUAAACUAACAUGUAUCGAAAUGUGGCCCCAAAAGGAAGGCUAGGAAGAUGGAGGAUUUUGUAGGAAUCGACCAGAAUCAGAUGGAAGAGAGAUAGUCCUGUUGACUUUAAUGGUUGUGAUAGGAACAUGCAUCAUUAUAUGAGAAGUUGCAUGAAUUUAUGUAUCCUGUUAUCGUUCCUUGACGAUUUCCCAAUGCAAUUUCACUGUCCACAAGACUAACCUCUCCAUGCAGUCAAAUGAAUUGUAAUUUCUCUAUUGGUACCAGUAGUACAUUUCAUACCAAACAUAUAGUAAAUAUAAAAUAUAAAUAGAUCAAGGAAAUCUGAAUUGUAGAUAGCACUGCAAGUAACACUCAAUAUUCUCUAUAUAUAAUAAAAUAAACAGUGUCACAAUACUCAUCACCCAGUGGCAAGGGAGAAAAACCUACAAUGAGUACUCAAAUCACCAUUCUCAAACAGAAACAUAGCAGUGACUGAUACAUAGAACCUAUAUGCUCACAGGGAAAGAAUAAGAUGACCAGUGCACAGCGGGCAGCAGCUCUUAUUUUACGUACAACUCAAAUCCCAAACUAACCAAAGUCGCUCAGUUGGGAUGGGUGGGAGAUGGUGGUUUGUGGGAUGGCUUCUGGGUAGGAGCUGGUGGCUUCUGUCCCUUUGGUGGUUUGCCUAAUGAGCUUGGUGGCUUGUGCUCCGGGAGUUGUUUCUCUCCCUCGAGUAGGUUUCGAGUCUUGUCAGAUGGCUUGUGUUCUGGUGGUGGCUUCUCUCCCUGGGGUGGUUUGCCGAAUGGGCUUGGUGGCUUGUGUUCGGGGAGUGGCUUCUCUCCCUGGAGAAGGUUACGAGUUUUGUCAUAUGGCUUUUGUUCUGGUGGUGGCUUCUCUCCCUGGGGUGGUUUGCCGAAUGGGCUUGGUGGCUUGUGUUCGGGGAGUGGCUUCUCUCCCUGGAGAAGGUUACGAGUUUUGUCAGAUGGCUUGUGUUCUGGUGGUGGCUUCUCUCCCUGGGGUGGUUUGCCGAAUGGGCUUGGUGGCUUGUGUUCGGGGAGUGGCUUCUCUCCCUGGAGAAGGUUACGAGUUUUGUCAGAUGGCUUUUGUUCUGGUGGCGGCUUCUCUCCCUGGGGUGGUUUGCCAAAUGGGCUUGGUGGCUUGUGUUCGGGAACUGGCUUCUCUCCCUUGGGAGGUUCAGUUGGUGGCUGCUGUUCCGUAGGUGGUUUCUUCACCGGCGGCUUGUGCUCCGGAAGCGGCUUCUCUACCUGGAGAAGCUUACGAGUUUUGUCCGAUGGCUUGUGUUGUGGUGGUGGCUUCUCUCCCUGGGGUGGUUUGCCAAAUGGAGUUGGUGGCUUGUGUUCGGGGAGUGGCUUCUCUCCAUUGGGAGGUUUAGUUGGUGAUUGGUGUUCCGUAGGUGGUUUCUGAAGUGGGGGAUGCUUGGGGUAGUCAGCAAGAGACGAGGUAGUGAGAACCACCAGUCCCAGCAGCAACACUAGCAAGCAUGUGGAAGACAUCUUUGAGUUCAGGCUGAGAUCUGUGCAAGGAUAACAGAAUUAGGUGGCCUUUUAUAGAGGCCUGGACCCAACACCCAUAUGACACGUGUCAUGCACUCAUGGUGACACAUAAUUCUAUGGGACCAUUUGGGUCCUACAGAAGUUGCAAAGUUGGACUACUGAGGUGUGAUCACAACUUUUGUCCUUAUUGCUUUCUCUGCGGCCAUUGCACGAUUUCCUUUAGCAUCAUUUUCUUGGCUAAAUAAGCGUAUUAUAUUUGUGGCAGACCGUCCACGUGUCAUAAACAGAUAUAUUAUAAUAAUGUAGUAUGCUUUUCUCCAAUGGAACAUGACACUCUUCUAAGUCUUGUUUUAAAUAUUGUGCAGGAUUACUUUAUACGUUGCAGUUCCAAGUCAAAAUUGGUGGGCAAACGUUGGCCUUUUUUCAUUUCACCUAAGAUUAAUGCUCACCUGGGAUAGGCACUACAUGACUUAUCUGCUCUUUUACUGUAAAGUUGCUUUGUGUAUGAGAUACACCUCCCCUGCACACCCUCAACAUUCGUUGCUCUGUUUUCCUUGUGUCCAGACGAGGAUAUUAAUUGGAGGCUGACAAAACGACUGCUAGCCCAGGAUUUACAAGGUCCUGGUUUGAGGCUUCGGUGAAAGUAUUUUUGAAAAGACACACAUAGAGAUAGUGCGUUUGGUGCAAUGCAGCACUGUGAGCCAUUCUGACGCGUUCUUAAUUUCAAAACUAAUGAAUGCUUCAAAAUUUUAAGAAGUGACAUUUCCAAAUAUUUGAGUUCGUUUAAUUGAACAUUGGAUAACUAGUGAUCAUAGAUUAUUAUCUGUGCUUGGCACUAUAAGAGGGUAUAUGCUUCUUUUUCUGGCCCCUCCUUCAAGGGAGGAGGGACAAUGUGAUCUGUAACGUUAGAAGCUAUUCCAUGUCAUCUUUGGGCUCAGUUCAAAACUAAAAGAUAAUGGGGGGGGGGGGGGGGGGCAUAUCAUUUUAUAUUUCUUCUAGAAGGUUUGUUCUGGAAAUAUUUCACAGGAGCAUAUCUUUUUCUUCUAUUACGUCAUCCGCAGCCUCCAAUAGGUCGGUUAACAAGCCACCGAGUUGAAAAGUUGGAAAAAUGGGAACACAGCCCGCCUCUUGUAUUCAGUAGUUAAAUAAAAGGUCACUAGAAGUGAGAUCCCUUUUGGCGUCUUGAUUUUCAAUCCAGCACCUCUGUGACCUGACAAACCAAAAAAACUAAAAAAUAAAAAACAGUACGUGGGUUGGUGUUAAGCAUCAAGACAUGUUAAUGAAAGAAGGUAGAGAAUAGGAUAUUGAAAUCCCAAUCCUGAUAACAUGAUUUUCUUUGCUAACAACCAUAUUAUAUUUUAUCAAGAAAGAGUAAUGCAUGUGGCGUCCAUCAAGACCCAUUAGAGUUCCGCUAAAGCUAUAGUUCUGUCAACGUUAUCAUUUACGUUUCCUCUAGAUAAUGGCAUUUUCCUCUAAAGCUCUUGCACCAUUAGGCUUCAAGUCAAAAUUUCACAUGUGAACUUUGGAAAUUUUCUCCAUUUGCCCCUAAGGAUACAGUUAGAAUUGACUUAAAAUCCUGAUUGAUAUGUACUAUUAACCAAAGAAUAUUGUAUAUAAUAAUUGAAAUAUUGUUGAUUCAUCGUGGAAAUACAUUUUGUAAGGAAAGUUGUUGAGAAUUUAGUAUGCUAUAUGGAGAAAAAAGUCAUGACUUAAGGUUGUGUAUGUAUAUUCUAUAUCAAAUAUUAGGUAGGAAUGUGGGAAAGAGCAGAGUGUAAUGAUAAGAAACAAAGAAAUAUAAGAUAUUCUUGAAAGUGGAAAAUAUAAAAUGGCUAACGAGUCAAAUUUAUGAUGCGUAAGGGGGAUCAUGUCACAUAAGAAAACCAUGGCAUACUAAAGACGUACGUGUGGUAUGGAGUAAUAAUUUUGUUAAAAUAAGUUUCUUGUUGGAGUACAUUAGGUGACUAUUCAUAACGUAUCAAAUUAAAGAGUCAAGUGCAUCAAUGAAGGCAUAUGUAGAAAAUUUGUUUGUGACAUGUACCAUAAAGAUAAGAUUGACUUGAUAGAAUUUAGUCUAAGUAGGAGUUGUUAAAGGUGUCUUAAAUUUCUAAUUGAUGUAUAUUUUUUUCUAAAAAAAUAUUAUAUAGAUAUUUUAAUAAAUGAUUAAUUCUUUGUAAAAAUACUUACAUAAUAAAAAACAUCAUUAAAAAUAUCUUUAUAAAUAUUUUAAGUUACAAGAAGGAAAAAAACCACUGUGAGAUAAUGAUGAACAUGCAACACUGUACCAAGUAAAUAAAAAUGUGAUAAAAAAAAAAGAGAAACACUCGAUAAAGGAAGGCUCGUAUAUAAAGAGUAAUAUUUUUAAUCAUAUGAUAGAAUGAUUUUCUCUCAUUCAUGAAUAUAGGCAAGAUUGGGGAACCAUUAUAAAAUUUUGUACACCUCGUGUAAAUUGAUGUUUGUCUUCAUAUUUUACACCAACAAAUGACAUUGAAGUUGUCAUUGAUAAAAGGGAAAAGGCAUGCCUCCACACCAUGUGCUUGAUUCGAAUGGUUCAAGUUUGAAGAAUUUUCUCCGGAAGAUCUAAAACAUUUUCGCCUUUAAAUUUCAUUUGAUUAUUAAUAUCCGAAAAAAUAGUUAAAUACUCUUUCUAUUUUUGAGUUGUUGAAUUUUUUGAAAGUUUUUAUAUUUGUUAUCAAGAAUUUCUAUUUUAUUAAGGGUGAAUAUUUAUAAAUAAGAUAUUAUAUAAUAUUUGGAUAAGAGAGAAUGGUGGAAUAUAAUAAAGUUUUAAUCCUUCCCAAUUUUGAACCUUUUUUUUUUUUUUUGAUAUAAUCGCCUUUCUCUUGCAAUCCUAUUAUCAGGUACCUUAUAUUUGCUGAUGCUAUCUGGAACUAAAUUCCAAUCAGGCAUUGUCCAAUUACUAAUAGGACAGAUCAUAUCUCUCUGUUUCUAAACUAACAUGUAUCGUAAUGUGACCUCAUAAGGAAGGCUAGGAAGAUGGAGGAUUUUGUGGGAAGCGACCAGAAUCAGAUGGAAGAGAGAUAGCCCUGUUGACCUAAUGGCUGUAAUAGGAGAAGCGUGUGGUUUUAUGGGACUUAACUGAUACUAAACCUGUAUGAUGCUUGGAGUGGUGUUUCUUUCAUUUUGUUAAGAAAAUAUGGCAGCAUACAUGCUUUCAACUGAGUGCAUCAGAGCAUCCAUAACAGAUGGUCUGCAACCCUAGGUGCAUGCCACUUUCUGACUGAUAAUGAAAUUGUCAGGUACCUGGCCUUGACUAAGCUCAACAGCAUCACAUAAAGAGAAGCUUUCAUACUUAGAUUACUGUUUAAAGUUUUUGCUUAUUUGAUUUCUUAAUGCCAUUAUGACAUUAUUGAUUCAAUUCUGCUUCCGAUUUUCGAAGUUCUGGGCAUCUACUGAUUGCAUCAUUAUAUGAGAAGUUGCAUGAGUUUAUGUAUCCUGUUAUUGUUCCUUUGCGAUUUCACUGCUCACGGGACUAACCUCUCCAUUCAGUCGAAAUGAAUUGUAAUUUCUUUACUGGUAGCAGUAGUACUUUUCAUAGCAAAGAUAAUAGAAAAUAUGAAAUAUAAAUAGAAGGAAAUCUGGAUUGUAGAUAGCACCAUAAGUAACACUCAAUAUUCACUACAUAAUAAAUAGACAGUGUUACAUAGGUAGAGAAACCUACAAUGAGUACUCAUCACCAUUCUCAAACAGAAACAUAGCAGCGACUUAUACAUAGAACCUAUAGGCUCGCAGGGAAAGAGUAACAUGAUAAGUUCACAGCGGGUAGCAGCUCUUAUUUUACGUAUUACUCAAAAUCUCAAACUAACCAAAGUCACUCAGUUGGGAUGGGUAGGAGAUGGUGGUUUGUGGGGUGGCUUCUGGGUAGGAGCUGGUGGCUUCUUUGUUGGAGUUGAAGGAGGCAUAUUCUUCUGAGGUGGCUUGUAUGACUCUUCGGCACUCUCUGCAGGAGGGUGCCCAGGGUUGUGACCAGAAGGAGGUGGCUUCUGUCCCUUUGGUGGUUUGCCUAAUGGGCUUGGUGGCUUGUGCUCCGGGAGUUGUUUCUCUCCCUCGAGUAGGUUUCGAGUUUUGUCAGAUGGCUUGUGUUCUGGUGGUGGCUUCUCUCCCUGGGGUGGUUUGCCGAAUGGGCUUGGUGGCUUGUGUUCGGGGAGUGGCUUCUCUCCCUGGAGAAGGUUACGAGUUUUGUCAGAUGGCUUUUGUUCUGGUGGCGGCUUCUCUCCCUGGGGUGGUUUGCCAAAUGGGCUUGGUGGCUUGUGUUCGGGAACUGGCUUCUCUCCCUUGGGAGGUUCAUUUGGUGGCUGGUGUUCCGUAGGUGGUUCCUUCACCGGCGGCUUGUGCUCCGGAAGCGGCUUCUCUACCUGGAGAAGCUUACGAGUUUUGUCAGAUGGCUUGUGUUGUGGUGGUGGCUUCUCUCCCGGGGGUGGUUUGCCAAAUGGACUUGGUGGCUUGUGUUCGGGGAGUGGCUUCUCUCCAUGGGGAGGUUUAGUUGGUGGUUGGUGUUGCGUAGGUGGUUUCUGAAGUGGGGGAUGCUUGGGGUAGUCAGCAAUAGACGAGGUAGUGAGAACCACCAGUCCCAACAGCAACACUAGCAAGGAUGUUGAAGACAUCUUUGAGUUCAGGCUGAGAUCUGUGCAAGGAUAAAAGAUUUAGGUGGCCUUUUAUAGAGGGCUGGACCCAACACCCAUAUGACACGUGUCAUGCACUCAUGGUGACACAUAAUUCUAUGGGACCAUUUGGGUCCUACAGAAGUUGCAAAGUUGGACUAUUGAGGUGUGAUCACAACUUUUGUCCUACUUGCUUUCUCUGCGGCCAUUGCACGAUUUCCUUUAGCAUCAUUUUCUUGUCUAAAUAAGCGUAUUAUAUUUGUGGCAGACCGUCCACGUGUCAUAAACAGAUAUAUUAUAAUAAUGUAGUAUGCUUUUCUUCAACGGAACUUGACACUCUUCUAAGUCUUGUUUUAAAUACUGUGCAGGAUUACGUCAUAAGUUGCUUGUUCCAAGUCAAAAUUGGUGGGCAAACGUUGGCCUUUUUUCAUUUUCCCUAAUAUUAAUGCUCACCUGGGAUAGGCACUACAUGAUUUAUCUGCUCUUUUACUGUGAAGUUGCUUUGUGCAUGAGUUACACCUCCCCUGCACACCCUCAACAUUUGUUGCUCUGUUUUUCUUGUGUCCAGACGAGGAUAUUAAUUGGAGGCUGACAAAACGACUGCUAGCCAAGGAUUUACAAGGUCCUGGUUUGAGGCUUUCACGAAAGUAUUUUUGAAAAGAUACACAUAGAGAUUGCGCGUUCGGUGCAAUGCAACAAUGUGAGCCAUUCUGAAGUCUUAAAUUUCAGAUUAAUGAAUGCUACAAAAUUCUAAGAAGGGCCGUUUCCAAAUAUUUGAGUUCAUUCAUCCGAACAUCGGGUAUAUGCUUCUUUCUCUAGCCCCUCCUUGAAGGGAGGAGGGACAAUGUGAUCUGUAUCGUUAGAAGCUAUUCCAUGUCGUCAUCUUUGGGCUCAGUUCAAUACUAAAAGAUAUGGGCGGGGCCCUUAUCAUUUUAUAUUUCUUCUAGAAGGUUUAUUCUGGAAAUCUUUCACAGAAACAUAUCUUUUUCUUCUCUACGUGAUCCGUGGUUUGAAAGUUGGAAAAAUGGGUCCGUUAACAAGCCACCGAGUUGAAAAGUUGGAAAAAUGGCAACACCGCCAACCUCUUGUAUUCGAUAGUUAAAUAAAAGGUCACUGGAAGUGAGAUCCCUUUUGGCCUCUUGAUUUUCAUUCCAGCAUCUCUAUGGCCUGAUAAAUUAAAAAACUAAAAAAAAAGACAGUACGUGGGUUGGUGUUAAGCAUCAAGAGUCAAGACAUGAUAAUGGAGAGAAAGGAUAUUCAAAUUCCAGUUCUGACAACAUGAUUUUCUUUGCUGAACUACCAUAUUAUAUUUGAUCAAGAAAGAGUAGUGCAUGUGGCCAGGAUCAAGACAUACAUUAAUUUCCACAUGAUGAAGACAGUUUCUGAGAGUUUCUUCUAAAGCUCUUGCGCGAGUAGGCUUCAAGUCAAAAUCUCCCAUGUAAACACUGGUUUUUCUUUCAUUGCCACUAAGGAUGCAGUUAAUAUUGACUUAAGAUCCUACGUGAUAUAUUUUUUUAAAAGAGCUAUAUUGUAGAUAAUAUUUGAAAUAAUGUUGAUUCGUUGUGGAAAUAUAUUUGUAAGGAAAGUUGUUGACAAUUUAAUAUAGUAUAAGAAGAAAAAAGUUAUCAACUAGCUAGAGAUGAGUAUGUAAAGUGAGGCUCACGAUUCAACGCGUAAAUAUAAGAUAUUUUAAGGCUCAAUAGUUAUGAUAUCUAUUUUAUUUUUUGUAUCUCAUAUAUUCAAAGAUAUAGUAAAAUGAUUUUACAUAUAUAUAUAUAUAUAUAUAUGAACAUAACUAUUUGUGCCAAUUGAUUUUUAUCUUUAUUUUGUAUAUUAGUAAUUAUAUUAAAGUUUUUACUAAUAUAAUAACUAAUAUAAAAGCUUUUUCUAAAAGAGUCAACAGAGCAAAACACUUAUUAUAAAAAAUAAUUUUGAUUGAAGGUGGAGUCAAUUAUUCUUUAUUUAACAUGUAAUGCAUACGGCGUGUACUUCAUAACUAAAGUAUAUAAGUGUAACAUCUCUUAUAUAUUCUCAUUCAAUCUCGAAAGUGGAAAUUUUAAAAAGAUUAAACGGUUCAAAUUUGUCGUGCAUAAAGGGGAUCAUGUCACAUAAGCAAACCAUGGCAUACCAAAGACAUAGGUAUGGACUAAGAAUUUUUUUCAAAUAAGUUUCUUAUUAGGGUACAUUAAUAGGUGACUUUUUAUGACAUAUCAAAGGAGUCAAGUGCACCAAUAAAAACAUAUAUAGAAAAUUCAUGCAUGACAUGUAUCACUAAGAGAAGAUUGACUUGAUAGAGUUUAAUCCAAAUAGGAGAUUGUUAAAAGGUGUCUCAAAUUCUUGAUUGAUAUAUAUUUUUUUUAUUAAAAAGGUUAUUAUAUAGAUAUUUCAAUAGACUAUUAAUUCUUUGUAAAAAUAGUUAUAUAAUGAGGAUGGUGAUUAAAAAUAUCUCUAUCAAUAUUUUGGAUUAUAAAAAGAAAAAAAAUGAGAUAAUGAUAAACAUAUAAAACUUGUACAAGUAGAUAAAGAUGUGAUGAAAGACACUUGAUGAAUGAAGGCUUUGUAUUUCAAGAUAUAAAUAUAUGGAGCAAAACUCUUAAUUAUAUGAUCAAAUGAUUCUCUCAUAUUCAUGAAUAUAAGCAGGAUUGGGGAACCAUGAUAGAAUCUUAUAUGCCUCUCCAUGUAGAGUGAUCGAUGUUUAUCUUCAUAUUUUACACCAGUGAAUGACAUUGAAACUCUUAUUGAUAAAAGGGAAAAGGCAUGGCCUCCACCCCAAGAAAAACAAGUAACCUCGGUUUAAAUCACUAGUCUACACCCCGAAGAGAGAACUAGCCAAACCUACUAAAAGAGAAACUUAACAAUUUAGAAAGAAACCGUCCAUGAUAAAGGGCCCCUAAAGGUCCAAUUCAGUGAGGUCGUGAACAAAAACACUUUCAUGUCAAAACAGAGAUAGGUACCACCAAAAUGUAAAGGGAAAGAUGUAAACCACGUCGAACUUUGGUAAUCAAUGGUAAAGAUAGCAUGAUAGCUAAAAGCACUAAAGCUGUGCUUGGUAUGCAAAAAUGAAAAGUGGAAAUCAGCGUCUUAUUCUUUUUCACCUUUAUUCACAUAUUAGGAUAACUAAUAUCUAAUGUUUUUUAUGUCUCAAAUUCUAUUCCAUGUUAUGGUAAACUUUCAUCUUGUUUAGAUCACUUUUGUCUGGUUUGGGCUCAAGACGAUAAGCCUAUAGAGACUUCAUAUUGGGUUGAAUCGAUGCCCUUGAUCUGAUCUGUUCGUUAGAAAAAUCUGAAUUAUUAUAAGCAUUUAGAUAAAAAAUAAAUAAAUGUGAAACACAAACUACUCCCUGCACAACCUUGACCCUAGUUACUCAGUUUCACUGCUCACAGGACUAACCUCUCCAUUCAGUCGAAAUGAAUUGUAACAAGAAGAUUUUUGACAGGAGGACGGUAGUUUAAAAUAAUAAUUUCUAAAGUACUUUUGUGAAAAAAAAUAAUUCCAAACGUGGAUUUUAUCAAGUAAAAAGAAAAAAAAAAGUUAUUUUCUUUUAAAAUCUGUUCUUCUAAAGAUGAUAUAUAUACCAAAAAAAAAAAUUGUUUUCUGAAGGUAAAAUUUUUAAAAUUCAUUUUUAAAAAAAUUUACACACUAAAAUUAUCUUUUCAAGAGAAGAUUUUUUUAAUUUUAAAUAAUUAUUAAUUUAUAAUUAAUUUGUUAUUAAUUAUUUAUUAAUUUUUUUAUUUGAAAAAUGCAUUUAUAAAAAACAAAUUUGUUAUUAAUUUAUUAAAUAAUUUUUACAAAAUAAAUAAUUUUUUUUUAUUUUAAUUUUAAAAUUAAUUUUAUUAUAUAAAUUUUAAAAUUAAAAAUAUUAAUAUUUAAUUUAAAAUUUAACUAUAAAAGGAAUAAAAUAUAGAAAAAUAAAUUAAUUUAUUAUUCAAUAAAUUAAUUUUCAAUAAAAUUUUCAGCAUUAAGAGAUAAAUUUUUAAGUAUUAAUCAAUUUAAAAAGAAAUAAUGAUCAUUUGUAUAUUAAGAUAUUUUAUUUAGUAAUUAUGAAUGAUAAACAACUAAAGUAAUUUGAAAAAAUAAUAAAAUAUUUAAAAAAUAAUAAUUUAAUACACGUAAAAUUAGAAAUGAUUAACUAUUUUUUAUUAAGAAAAAAUUGAGGAAAUAUUUUGUUAUUUAAAAUUUUUUAUUUGUUUUCAAUUUUUAAUGUUAUAGGUUUCAAGAAAAUUGAUCAAAUAAAAAUUAAGAAGUCAUUUUUUCAAAAACUAUAUAUCUAAAUAAAAGCCUUGAAAUUCAAAUACACAAUAUCAUAAAUAUAAACACCAAGUCAAUCCUUAAUUAUCAAAUGUUUUUAAUAUUAAAGAAUCAAAAUCACCUACUAUCAUGAUAAUAAGAAAACCAAUAAUAUUGUUCAUAUAAAUACUAAAAAGCUAACAAAUAUCCCAAACAAUUAAUAAAGUAUCAAACAUGAUAAAAAGUCAAUUAUUAUCAUGAAUGCAAAAAAUCAAUAAUUUUGUUUAUAUGAACCAUCAACAAAGAAAAAAAAAAUCAAUAUCUAAAUAUUAAACAUAAUUUAUAUUUUUAUAAAUAUUAUUGUUGAUAAAUAUCUUAACAAUUAUAAUUUUAGUAAAUAAAAUUAAUUAAUUUUAGUUUAAGAAUUAUUUUUUUAUACUUUCGUAUUCUUAUCAAAAAUCCCCAUUUUGCAUGUCUCCUUUGGCAUGACUUUCUUACCUAAACAAGCAUAUAUAUAUAUAUAUAUAUAUAAAAUAUUUGGUUAAGAAAGAGUACUAAAGUUUAUAUGGCACACAUCAAGAUAGAAACAGAAGUGGAAGAUAAUCCAAAUGUAUGAACAGAUAUAUUAUAUCCAUGUAGUGGUAGUGACUUCAUUAUUUACUUUUAUCUAAUGGAGCAUGACACACUUCUUCUGAAUAUUUUGCACGAUUAUGUUAUGUGUCAGCUUGUUCUAAGUCAAAACUAGUGAUAAAAAUCGGUUUUUUUUGCAUUUCCUUCAUGAAGAUGGCACCUGGAUGGGGCACUACAUGAGUGGCAUAGCACGAAGUGAUUUAUCUGCUCCCUUUACUAUAAAGUGCUUUGUGUAUAAGUUACACCUCCCCUGCACUGCCUCAACAUUUGUUGUUCUGUCUUCCGUCUGUCCAAACGAGGACAAACGUAUGUUGUAGGUUGACAAAACCACAGCUAGCCUAGGAUUUGCAAGGAUCUAGUUUGAUUCGUAUGCAAAAGGAUUGGUGAAAAGAUUCACAAAGAUAAUGCUUUUUGCAAUGCAAUCUUGUUCUAAUUCAACAGUGUGGACCAUUUUCAUGUAAUGCUUCAACUAGAUGUCAGUUUCAUGAAUUUUUGUUCAUCUAAUUGAUCACUGGAUAGGCCAUAACCCGAAGAAAUUCAAAAUUCCCUUCAGUACUGUAGCUAAGGAAAGAUCCCUAUCUACCACUGGGAUUUUAAGAGGGUAAAAAUGUAGGUGGGUGCCUAUAUCAUUUGCACUUCACUAUAGGCCUCUUUGGGAAGAUUUCUUCUGAAGACAUUUCAAAGAAACAUAUUUUUCUCUUCUCUCCGUAAACGGCAGCUGCAAGUCAGUCCAUUCACAGGCCACCGAGUUGAAAAGGCUGGAAAAUUGGCCAAAGCACCCGCCUCCUGGAUUCCAUGGGUAAGGAAAAGGUCACUGGAGGUGUGAUCCCUGUUGGCCUCUUGAUUUCCAUUCCGCCAUCUAUAUGACCUGAUAACCCAAAAACACAGAAGGAAAACGUCACCUGGGUUCAUAGUAAGCAUCAAGUCAUGAUAGAGACCAGACAACAUGACCAACAAAGAGUAGCGAAUGGGGCCAACAUCAAGCCCCAUUACGGUUAGAAGAUGGAAGAAGUAGAAGACAAUCCAAUUCUGAUAGAUUCGGGCAAAUGUAGUGCUGUUCAAACUUAAUCAUUUACUAUUUCUUCAUGAAUCACGGCAUUUUUCUUCUGAAAAUUUUCCAAGAUUAGGCCUCUGAAGAAAAAUUUCAUAUGUAAAUUGGUAUAUUAAGGAAAAGGCGUUACAAAGGUGAAAAAAAACCAAUCAAAUCUUAUAUAUGACAUCUCAAAAAUAUGAACUUGCUAUAAAUAUUUAAAAUCAAAAUCUUGCACAUCACCUCGUAGUACGAACUUGCUAUAAAACUUGAAAAUCAAGAAGAAAGGGGCAGUAUUGGACGAGACUACUUAGCACAUAUUAUUAUGAUGUUUUUUCAUUUUCUUAAUGUUGUUUUUAUGUCUUAAAUUCUAUUAUUCUAUGUUACGGUAAACAUUCAUCUUGUUUGUGUGGAAUAGGAUCACUUUUCUCUGGGUUGAGUCGAUGCCCUUAGUUAAUUUGUUCAUUUGAAUAAACUAAAUUAUUAUAAGUAUUUAGAUAAGAAAAACGUGAUACAUAAAUUACGCCUCUCGGCACAACUUCAACACUGGUUACUCUGUUUCAGUUUCCUCACACAAGAUUAUUGGUUCUAGGGUUUAUUUGGUUUUGGUUUGAUUCUAAUUGCUAAACUUUCUCAAGGAAGAUGUUAUAUAGGGAGUGAGAAACCUUCACUCUUGGCUACCUCCAAGAGAAGAGCAAGUGGUCUGAAUCAAAGAUAUACUGCUCACUUUUUCUUCUUCUAAGGACAGCUAUGACCUUGCUUUAAGGUUCGAAUAGCCUAAUGCAACCUCCCAUUUCUCAAGUCAGCUGAUGAUGUAAGUCACCUUGGCUUUCCACAUUCAUACGGUGAGGACGUUUGUGGGUGUAAUUCUCUUAACAGUUUUCAUUUUAUAUGGAAAAAUUCAUAAUUAAGGGUAAUUACUGAUUCCAUUUGACAGUGACCAAGUUUAAAAUAUUAAUUCAUAUAUUAAAUGCACAUUAAAAAAUCAUGGAAUAAAUAUAUUUACUAAUAUAUAGUUCUUUUGCCAUGUUCUGUCACAGAAGCAUCGAACUUUCCCUAGAAAUUUUUGCAUGGUAUUCUACUUAUGAUUUUGAAAACUCUAGGCACCUGAGGCCACUAAUUGCAUGGUUGGAUGAGGAGCUGCAUGAGAUUAUGUAUCGUGUUGUUCCUUAACUACAAAUAUCAGUUUUAAGUAGCAUCUCCAUGUGACAUUUUCCUGAUGCAAUUUCGCUGUCCACCAACAAAUUUCACCAUGCAGCAAGAUGAAUUGUAAUUUCUUUAUUGUUAUCAACAGCUUUAAUUAAUCUUGAUAUAUAUAUAUAACUUAGUAGAAGUAUAUUAAUCUAGAUUGUAGUUGCACUAAGAUAAUAGGCAAUAUUAUAACAGUGCCACAAUGCUCAUCGCCAAAUAGAAAGGUAGAAAAACUACAAUGAGUAACUCACAACAUUCUCAAACAGGACAUAGCGGCGACUGAUACAUAGAACACUAUUGGCACUCAGGAAAUGAUAAGAUCAGUGCCCAGCAGGCAGCACGUCUUAUUUUACAUACUACUUAAAACUAACCAAAGUCAUUCAGUUGGGAUGGGUGGGAGAUGGUGGUUUGUGCGGUGGCUUUUGGGUAGUUGGUGGCUUCUUUCCUGGAACUGAUGGUUUUUUUGUUGGAGUUGAAGGAGGCUUAAUCGUCUGAGGUGGCUUGUAUGAGUCUUCAGCACUCUCUGCGGGAGGGUGCCCAGGGUUGUGACCAUAAUGGGGUGGCUUCUCUCCCUUAGUUGGUUUGCCAAGUGGGCUGGCUGGCUUGUGCUCCGGGAGCGGCUUCUCUCCCUUAGGUGGUUUGCCAAAUGGGCUUGCUGGCUUGUGCUCUGGGAGCGGCUUCUCUCCCUCAAGAAGUUUACGGGUUUUGUCAGAUGGCUUGUGUUCUGGUGGUGGCUUCUCUCCUUGGGGUGGUUUGCCAAAUGGACUUGGUGGCUUGUGUUCGGGGAGUGGCUCCUCUCCCUUGGGAGGUUUAGUUGGUGGCUGGUGUUCCAUAGGUGGUUUCUCAACCGGGGGCUUGUUCUCCGUUGGUGGUUUAUGAACUGGGGGAUGCUUGGGGUAGUCAGCAAGAGACGGGGUGGUGAGAACCACCAGUCCCAGCAGCAACACUAGCAAGUAUGUGGAAGAGUACAUCUUUGAGUUCAGGCUGAGAUUUGUGCGAGACUUGAAGAAUUAGGUGGCCUUUUAUAGCUGGCUGCACCCAACACUCACAUGACACGUAUCAUGGUGACACAUGUGCUAUGGGUCCAUUUGGGUCCUACAGAAGCUGAAAACUUUUGACUAUUGAGGUGUGGUCACAACUUUUGUCCCUAUUGCUUUCUCCGCAACCGUUUUACAUGUUUCCUUUGGCAUAAUUUUCUAAGCUAAACAAGCAUAUAUCAUAUUUGGUUAAGAAAGAGUAAAGUGUAUAUGGCACACAUCAAGGAAGAGAAACAGAAAAAGUGGGAGACAAUCAAUUGUGAUAAACAGAUAUAUUAUAUUCAUGUAGUACUAGUGACUUUAUCAUUUACUUUUAUCCAAUAGAUCAUCACUCUUUCUUCUAAAUAUUUUGGAGGAUAAUGGUACAUGUUGCUUGUUUCCAAGUCAAAAUUGGUGGCAAAAAUCGGCAUGAUACGAAAGGAUUGGUGAAAAGAUUCACAUAGAUGGUGCUUUGUGCAAUGCAGUCUUGCUCUAAUUCAACAGAGUGGACCAUGGUGAUGUAUUUUAAAUUUUAAAUUUUAAAUUAAUGCAUGCUUCAAAGUUUUAACUAGAUGUCACUUCCAUGGAUUUUUGUUCAUUUAAUUGAGCACAGGAUAGGCUAUCAAACUUGAAGUAAUAUAAAAAUCCCUUCAUUACUGUAACUAAUGAAAGAUCAUUAUCUGCGCUUGGUAUUUUGCCAAGGUAUUUGCUGCUCUUUCUAGCCCUGUCUUACAGUUAAGGACAAUGUGAUCUAGUUAACCUUAGAAGCUAUUCCAUGUCAGAUACAAGAGAUCAAGCACAUUAUCUUUGGGCUCAGUUCAAAACUAUAAUAUAUGGGUGGGGUGGAGGCCCAUAUCAUUUGCAUAUCACCACUAUUGGUUUAGUUUGGAAGGUUUCUUCUGGAAGAUUGCUGCUUUCUGGAAUCAUUUCAAAGAAAUAUAUCUUUUUGUUCUCUUGGUGACGAGCAGCGGCAAUCAAGUCUGUUGACAAACAACCGAGUUGAAAAGUUUGAAAAUUGGUCACAGCCCACGUCCAUGGUUAAGGAAAAGGUCACUGGAAGUGAUCCCUUCUGGGCCUCUUGAUUUCCAUUCUGACAUCUAUAUGACCUGAUAAAUAGAAAGAAAAAAAAACAGAAGAAAAGCGGCACCCGGGUUCAUAGUAAGCAUCAAGACAGGAUACUGAAAGAAGGGAGAAAGGAGAUUGCAAGUCCAAUCCUGAUAAAAUGAUCAACAAAGAGUAUCAAAAUGGGGCCAACAUAAAGACCCAUUGAGGUUAGCAGAUGGCAUGGCAUUUUUCUCCUUAAGUUUUCCAUGAUUAGACUUGAAGUCAAAAUUUCACAUGUAAAUUUGUAUUUCUACAUUUCCCACUGACGACACCCAACUUCAACUUGAGUUAGAAUAACAUUGUGUGAACUUAUCUGGCCCUCAAAAUUUACUGUGAAGUGCUUUCUGCGUGUGAAGAUUCAGAAAAGCACCAAGGGAACAUGUAUGGUCUGCCUUUUUCUGAUGUUAUGUUUGUCUCUAAUUCUGUUCCAUGUCAUGGUAAAUGUUCACAUUGCUUGUAUGGAACACACCAGGAUCACUUUUUCGGGUUUAUUUUGAGGCUUCAUAUUGGGUUCAUAUUGGGUUCAAUGCUUUUAAUGUGUUCAUUAGACAAAUCUGAAUUAUCAUAUGCAUUUAGAUAAGAACAAUAAUGUGAAACCCUAGUUACACCUCCCCUGCAUAACCCCAACCCUGCUUACUCUAUUUCAGUUUACUCACACAAGUUUUACCGGUUCUUAUAAGUCAAGAAAAGGCAACUGAUGUUGGAUUGACUCUCUUCCAUGUAUAAAAAGCAACUUUUAUAUAUACAUAAAAUAACUUCUUCCCCUCACCAAUGUGGGAUAUCAUGGAUUUAUUCUGGAAACACAUCAAAGGAACAUCUUUUCUCUUGGGUGACCCUAAGUGGUGAGUCAGACCAUUUGCAUGCCAUUGAGUUGCACAGUUGGAUAAAUGCACCUACCUCCUGGGCUCCAGAGUUAAAAGGGUGGAUCCCUGGAUCGCAACCCUCUUGGCAUCUUGGUUUCCAUUCCAACAUCCACAUGACUUGACAAAACAAAAAACAGAAUAAAAUCAUCACUAUUUUCAUGCUAAGCACCAAUACAUGAUGGAAAUCAUUGCUUAAAGAUUUGGGGUCAUUUAGGUUUUGACUGCCUCCUAACACCUCACCUAAUCACAAGUUUUUAUGCUUACAAAUCAAAUAUCGUUCUUCAUUAUAUUAAAAUCAUUUUAAGAUUUCAGAUCCAUCUGCUAAUUAUGAUUAUGAUAACAUUAAUUCACCUGUGCUUCUCAUUUUCGACACACAAGGCAUCUAGGUUUGCAGGAUUUCCUUAUUAGAUGAGAUAAAUGAGUACGCAUGGUUAUGUAUGCAGCAUUCAUUAACCAUGGUAUGUGACAUUUAGAAUUAAGAUAGCAAGCAAACUUUCCCUGCAGCUUGAGUAAAUUGUGAUUUCUUAGCCUCUAUGAGUGGUUCCCAAAUCAAAUUAACAUAGUGAAAUAUACGUAGUCCAGUGAAAGGAAAUGUAAAUUAUAAACUAACAGCACUACACUACUGGUAACACUCGAUACUCUCUAUAUAAUGCAAUGAAAUAUACGUUAUACGUUGCUUGUUCCAAGUCAAAAUUUGUGGCCAAACGUUGGCCUUUUUUCAUUUUCCCUAAGAUUAAUGCUCACCUGGGAUAGGCACUACAUGAUUUAUCUGCUCUUUUACUGUAAAGUUGCUUUGUGUAUGAGUUACACCUCCCCUGCACACCCUCAACAUUUGUUGCUCUGUUUUCCUUGUGUCCAGACGAGGAUAUUAAGUGGGGGCUGACAAAACGACUGCUAGCCAAGGAUUUACAAGGUCCUGGUUUGACGCUUCCGCGAAAGUAUUUUUGAAAAUAUACACAUAGAGAUUGCGCGUUCGGUGCAAUGCAACAAUGUGAGCCAUUCUGAAGUUUUUAAUUUCAGAUUAAUGAAUGCUACAAAAUUCUAAGAAGGGCCGUUUCCAAAUAUUUGAGUUCAUUUAUCCGAACAUCGGAUAAGUAAUGAUCAUAGAUUAUUAUUAUUAUCUGACGUUCUUAUAAUGGUUGGCAUUAUAAGAGGGUAUAUGCUUCUUUCUCUAGCCCCUCCUUCAAGGGAGGGACAAUGUGAUCUGUAUCGUUAGAAGCUAUUCCAUGUCGUCAUCUUUUGGCUUAAGUCAAUACUAAAAUAUAUGGGCGGGGCCCCUGUCAUUUUAUAUUUCUUCUAGAAGGUUUGUUCUGGAAAUCUUUCACCGAAACAUAUCUUUUUCUUCUCUACGUGAUCCGUGGUUGGAAAGUUAGAAAAAUGGGUCCGUUCACAAGCCACCGAGUUGAAAAGUUGGAAAAAUGGCAACACCGCCAACCUCUUGUAUUCGAUAGUUAAAUAAAAGGUCACUGGAAGUGAGAUCCCUUUUGGCCUCUUGAUUUUCAUCCCAGCAUCUCUAUGUCCUGAUAAACUAAAAAACUAAAAAAAAAACAGUACGUGGGUUGGUGUUAAGCAUCAAGAGUCAAGACAUGAUAAUGGAGAGAAAGGAUAUUCAAAUUCCAGUUCUGACAACAUGAUUUUCUUUCCUGAACAACCAUGUUAUAUUUGAUCAAGAAAGAGUAGUGCAUGUGGCCAGGAUCAAGACAUACAUUAAUUUCCACAUGAUGAAGACAGUUUCUGAGAGUUUCUUCUAAAGCUCUUGCGCUAGUAGGCUUCAAGUCAAAAUUUCCCAUGUAAACACUGGAUUUUCUUUAAUUGCCACUAAGGAUACAGUUAAAAUUGACUUAAAAUCCUACGUGAUAUAUAUCUUUAACAAAAGUAUAUUGUAUAUAAUAUUUGAAAUAAUGUUGAUUCGUUGUGGAAAUAUGUUUGUAAGGAAAGUUGUUGACAAUUUAAUAUAGUAUAAGAAGAAAAAAGUUAUCAACUAGAGAUGAGUAUGUAAAGUGAGGCUCACGAUUCAACGCGUAAAUAUAAGAUAUUUUAAGGCUCAAUAGUUAUGAUAUCUAUUUUAUUUUUUGUAUCCCAUAUAUUCAAAGAUACAGUAAAAUGAUUUUAUAUAUAUGAACAUAGCCGAUAGUAUCAUGUUAAAACCUUAUAUGACUCUUUGUGCCAAUUGAUUUUUAUCUUUAUUUUGUGUAUUAGUAAUUAGUAUUAAAGUUUUUACUAACAUAAUAAUUGAUAUAAAAGCUUUUUCCAAAAGAGUCAAACAGAGCAAAACACUUAUUAUAAAAAGAAUUUUGAUUGAAGGUGGAGUCAAUUAUUCUUUAUUCAACAUGUGAUGCAUACAGCGGGUACUUCAUAACUAAAGUAUAUAAGUGCAACAUCUCUUAUACAUUCUCAUUCAAUCUCGAAAGUGGAAAAUUUUAAAAGAUUAAAUGGUUCAAAUUUUCCGUGCAUAAAGGGGAUCAUGUCACAUAACCAAACCAUGGCAUACCAAAGCCAUGAUAUGGACUAAGAAUUUUGUUAAAAUAAGUUUCUUAUUAGGGCACAUUAUGUGACUAUUUAUGACAUAUCAAAGGAGUCAAGUGCAUCAAUAAAGACAUAGAAAAUUCAUGCAUCACAUGUACCACUAAGAGAAAAUUGACUUGAUAGAGUUUAGUCCAAAUAGGAGAUUGUUAAAAGGUGCAUCAAAUUCUUGAUUGAUAUAUAUUUUUUUUAUUAGAAAGGUUAUUAUAUAGAUAUUUCAAUAGACUAUUAAUCCUUUGUAAAAAUAGUUAUAUAAUGAGGAUGGUGAUUAAAAAUAUCUCUAUCAAUAUUUUGGAUUAUAAAAAGAAAAAAAAUAUGAGAAAAUGAUAAACAUAUAAAACUUGUACAAGUAGAUAGAGAUGUGAUGAAAGACACUUGAUGAAUGGAGGCCUUGUAUUUCAAGAUGUAAAUAUAUGGAGCAAAACUCUUAAUUAUAUGAUCAAAUGAUUCUCUCAUAUUCAUGAACAUAAGCAGGAUUGGGGAACCAUGAUAGAAUCUUAUAUGCCUCUCCAUGUAGAUUGAUCGAUGUUUAUCUUCAUAUUUUACACCAAUGAAUGACAUUGAAACUCUGAUUGAUAAAAGGGAAAAAGCAUGGCCUCCACCACAAGAAAAACAAGUAACCUCGGUCUAAAUCACUAGUCUACACCCCGAAGAGAGAACUAGCCAAACCUACUAAAAGAGAAACUUACCAAUUUAGAAAGAAAUCUUCCAUGAUAAAGGGCCCCUAAAAGUCCAAUUCAGUCAGGUUGUGAACAAAAACACCUUCAUGUCAAAACAGGAAUAGGUACCACCAAAAUGUAAAGGGAAAGAUGUAAACCAAGUCGAACUUUGGUAAACAAUGGUAAAGAUAGCAUGAUAGCUAAAAGCACUAAAGCUGUGCUUGGUAUGCAAAAAUGAAAAGUGGAAAUCAGCGUCUUAUUCUUUUUCUCCUUUAUUCACAUAUUAGGAUAACUAAUAUCUAAUGUUUUUUUUAUGUCUCAAAUUCUAUUCCAUGUUAUGGUAAACUUUCAUCUUGUUUAAGUGGAAGAGUAGGAUCACUUUUGUCUGGUUUGGGCUCAAGACGAUAAGCCUAUAGAGACUUCAUAUUGGGUUGAAUUGAUGCCCUUGAUCCGAUCAGUUCGUUAGAAAAAUCUGAAUUAUUAUAAGCAUUUAGAUAAAAUAAAUAAAUAAAUGUGAAACAGAGACUAUUCUCUGCACAACCUUGACCCUAGUUACUCAGUUUCACUGCUCACGGGACUAACCUCUCCAUUCAGUCGAAAUGAAUUGUAAUUUCUUUACUGGUAGCAGUAGUACUUUUCAUAGCAAAGAUAAUAGUAAAUAUGAAAUAUAAAUAUAUAGAAGGAAAUCUGGAUUGUAGAUAGCACCAUAAGUAACACUCAAUAUUUACUACAUAAUAAAAGAGAUAGUGUUACAAAGGUAGAGAAACCUACAAUGAGUACUCAUCACCAUUCUCAAACAGAAACAUAGCAGUGACUUAUACAUAGAACCUAUAGGCUCGCAGGGAAAGAGUAACAUGAUAAGUGCACAGCGGGUAGCAGCUCUUAUUUUACGUAUUACUCAAAAUCUCAAACUAACCAAAGUCACUCAGUUGGGAUGGGUAGGAGAUGGUGGUUUGUGGGGUGGCUUCUGGGUAGGAGCUGGUGGCUUCUUUGUUGGAGUUGAAGGAGGCGUAAUCUUCUGAGGUGGCUUGUAUGAGUCUUUGGCACUCUCUGCAGGAGGGUGCCCAGGGUUGUGACCGGAAGGAGGUGGCUUCUGUCCCUUUGGUGGUUUGCCUAAUGGGCUUGGUGGCUUGUGCUCCGGGAGUUGUUUCUCUCCCUCGAGUAGGUUUCGAGUUUUGUCAGAUGGCUUGUGUUCUGGUGGUGGCUUCUCUCCCUGGGGUGGUUUGCCGAAUGGGCUUGGUGGCUUGUGUUCGGGGAGUGGCUUCUCUCCCUUGGCAGGUUCAGUUGGUGGCUGGUGCUCCGUAGGUGGUUUCUUCACCGCCGGCUUCUCUCCCUGGAGAAGGUUACGAGUUUUGUCAGAUGGCUUCUGUUCUGGUGGCGGCUUCUCUCCCUGGGGUGGUUUGCCAAAUGGGCUUGGUGGCUUGUGUUCGGGAACUGGCUUCUCUCCCUUGGCAGGUUCAGUUAGUGGCUGGUGUUCCGUAGGUGGUUUCUUCACCGGCGGCUUGUGCUCCGGAAGCGGCUUCUCUACCUGGAGAAGCUUACGAGUUUUGUCAGAUGGCUUGUGUUGUGGUGGUGGCUUCUCUCCCUGGGGUGGUUUGCCAAAUGGACUUGGUGGCUUGUGUUCGGGGAGUGGCUUCUCUCCAUUGGGAGGUUUAGUUGGUGGUUGGUGUUCCGUAGGUGGUUUCUGAAGUGGGGGAUGCUUGGGGUAGUCAGCAAGAGACGAGGUAGUGAGAACCACCAGUCCCAGCAGCAAUACUAGCAAGGAUGUGGAAGACAUCUUUGAGUUCAGGCUGAGAUUUGUGCAAGGCUAGAAGAAUUAGGUGGCCUUUUAUAGCGGGCUGGACCCAACAACCAAAUGACACGUAUCAUGAUACACAUAUGUGUUAUAAGAUCCUUGUGGGUCCUACAGAAGUUGAAAACUUUGACAAUUGAGGUGUGAUUACAACUUUUGUCCCUAUUGCUUUCUCGUCAGCCGUUUUGCAAGAUUUUUGACAGGAGGACGGUAGUUUAAAAUAAUAAUUUCUAAAGUACUUUUGUGAAAAAAAAUAAUUCCAAACGUGGAUUUUAUCAAGUAAAAAAAACAAAAAAAAGUUAUUUUCUUUUAAAAUCUUUUCUUCAUGAUUCAUAUACCAAAAAAAGAAUUGUUUUCUGUAGGUAAAAUUUUUAAAAUUCAUUUUUAAAAAAAAAAAAUUACACACUAAAAUUAUCUCUUCAAGAAAAUAUUUUUUAAAUUUUAAAUAAUUAUUAAUUUAUAAUUAAUUUUUUAUUAAUUAUUUAUUAAAUUUAUAUGUGAAAAAUGCAUUUAUAAAAAACAAAUUUUUUAUUAAUUUAUUAAAUAAUUAUUUACAAAAUAAAUAAUUUUGCUUUAUUUUAAUUUUAAAAUUAAUUUUAUUAUAUAAAUUUUAAAAUUAAAAAUAUUAAUAUUUAAUUUAAAAUUUAACUAUAAAAGGAAUAAAAUAUAGAAAAAUAAAUUAAUUUAUUAUUCAAUAAAUUAAUUUUCAAUAAAAUUUUCAGCAUUAAGAGAUAAAUUUUUAAGUAUUAAUCAAUUUAAAAAAUAAUAAUAAUCAUUUGUAUACUAAGAUAUUUUAUUUAGUAAUUAUGAAUGAUAAACAACUAAAGUAAUUUGAAAAAAUAAUAAAAUAUUUAAAAAUAAUAAUUUAAUACACUUAAAAUUAGAAAUGAUUAACUAUUUUUUAUUAAGAAAAAAUUGAAGAAAUAUUUUGUUAUUUAAAAUUUUUUAUUUGUUUUCAAUUUUAAAUGUUAUAGGUUUCAAGAAAAUUGAUCAAAUAAAAAUUAAGAAGUCAUUUUUUCAAAAACUAUAUAUCUAAAUAAAAGCCUUGAAAUUCAAAUACACAAUAUCAUAAAUAUAAACACCAAGUCAAUCCUUAAUUAUCAAAUGUUUUUAAUAUUAAAGAAUCAAAAUCACCUACUAUCAUGAUAAUAAGAAAACCAAUAAUAUUGUUCAUAUAAAUACUAAAAAGCUAACAAAUAUCCCAAACAAUUAAUAAAGUAUCAAACAUGAUAAAAAGUCAAUUAUUAUCAUGAAUGCAAAAAAUCAAUAAUUUUGUUUAUAUGAACCAUCAACAAAGAAAAAAAAAAUCAAUAUCUAAAUAUUAAACAUAAUUUAUAUUUUUAUAAAUAUUAUUGUUGAUAAAUAUCUUAAUAAUUAUAAUUUUUUAUAUAUUAAAUUUAGUAAAUAAAAUUAAUUAAUUUUAUAAUAUAAGAUAUAUAUAAUAAUUAAGAGACUAUUUGUCCCAAACAAUUUAUUUAUUUUUUUUUUAGGAAAUUGUCUCUUCAAGAGACGACUUCUCCCAACAUUUUUAAAAAAAAAAAAAAAAACAUCUAUUCAAAAGACGAUUUCUCCUCAUUUUUUAAAAAUGAAUUUUAGAAAUCAUAUUUUCAAAAAUGAAUUUUAGAAAUCAUAUUUUCAAAAGACGAUUUUUUUUUAUAUAAAUUAUUUUUUAAAAUGACGAUUUUAAAAGGAAAUAACGAUCUCUCUCCUACUUGGCAAAAACUAUGGUAAAUUUGGAAUUAUUUCUUCCACAACCAUAGUUUAAGAAUUAUUUUUUUAUACUUUCGUAGACUUAUCAAAAAUCCCUAUUUUGCAUGUCUCAUUUGGCAUGACUUUCUUACCUAAACAAGCAUAUAUAUAUAUAUAUAUAUAUAUAUCACUUUUGUCUGGGUUGAGUCAAUGCCCUUAACUAAUUUGUUCAUUUGAAUAGUCUAAAUUAUUAUAAGCUUUUAGUUAAGAAAAAUGUGAAACAUAAAUUACACCUCUCGGCACAACUUCGACACUGGUUACUCUGUUUCAGUUUAUUCACACAAGAUUAUUGGUUCUAGGGUUUAUUUGGUUUUGGUUUGAUUCUAAUUGCUAAACUUUCUCAAGGAAGAUGUUAUAUAGGGAGUGAGAAACCUUCACUCCUGGCUACCUCCAAGAGAAGAGCAAGUGGUCUGAAUCAAAGAUAUACUGCUCACUUUUUCUUCUUCUAAGGACAGCUAUGACCUUGCUUUAAAAUGUUCGAAUAGCCUAAUGCAACCUCCCAUUUCUCAAGUCAGCUGAUGAUGUAAGUCACCUUGGCUUUCCACAUUCAUACGGUGAGGACGUUUGUGGGUGUAAUUCUCUUAACAGUUUUCAUUUUAUAUGGAAAAAUUCAUAAUUAAGGGUAAUUACUGAUUCCAUUUGACAGUGACCAAGUUUAAAAUAUUAACUCAUGUAUUAAAUGCACAUUAAAAAAUCAUGGAAUAAAUAUAUUUACUAAUAUAUAGUUCUUUUGUCAUGUUCUGUCACAGAAGCAUCGAACUUUCCCUAGAAAUUUUUGCAUGGUAUUCUGCUUAUGAUUUUGAAAACUCUAGGCACCUAAGGCCACUGAUUGCAUGGUUGGAUGAGGAGCUGCAUGAGAUUAUGUAUCCUGUUGCUCCUUAACUACAAAUAUCAGUUUUAAGUAGCAUCUCCAUGUGACAUUUUCCUGAUGCAAUUUCGCUGUCCACCAACAAAUGUCUCCAUGCAGCUAGAUGAAUUGUAAUUUCUUUGUUGUUAUCAACAGCUUUAAUUAAUCUUGAUAUAUAUAUAACUUAGUAGAAGUAAUUAAUCUAGAUUGUAGUUGCACUAAGAUAAUAGGCAAUAUUAUAACAGUGCCACAAUGCUCAUCGCCAAAUAGAAAGGUAGAAAAACUACAAUGAGUAACUCACACAACAUUCUCAAACAGGACAUAGCGGCGACUGAUACAUAGAACACUAUUGGCACUCAGGAAAUGAUAAGAUCAGUGCCCAGCAGGCAGCACGUCUUAUUUUACAUACUACUUAAAACUAACCAAAGUCAUUCAGUUGGGAUGGGUGGGAGAUGGUGGUUUGUGCGGUGGCUUCUUUCCUGGAACUGGUGGUUUUUUUGUUGGAGUUGAAGGAGGCUUAAUCGUCUGAGGUGGCUUGUAUGAGUCUUCAGCACUCUCUGCAAGAGGGUGCCCAGGGUUGUGACCAUAAUGAGGUGGCUUCUCUCCCUUAGGUGGUUUGCCAAGUGGGCUGGCUGGCUUGUGCUCCGGGAGCGGCUUCUCUCCCUUAGGUGGUUUGCCAAAUGGGCUUGCUGGCUUGUGCUCUGGGAGCGGCUUCUCUCCCCCAAGAAGUUUGCGGGUUUUGUCAGAUGGCUUGUGUUCUGGUGGUGGCUUCUCUCCUUGGGGUGGUUUGCCAAAUGGACUUGGUGGCUUGUGUUCGGGGAGUGGCUCCUCUCCCUUGGGAGGUUUAGUUGGUGGCUGGUGUUCCGUAGGUGGUUUCUCAACCGGGGGCUGGUGCUCCGUAGGUGGUUUAUGAACUGGGGGAUGCUUGGGGUAGUCAGCAAGAGACGGGGUGGUGAGAACCACCAGUCCCAGCAGCAACACUAGCAAGUAUGUGGAUGACAUCUUUGAGUUCAGGCUGAGAUUUGUGCAAGACUAGAAGAAUUAGGUGGCCUUUUAUAGCUGGCUGCACCCAACACUCACAUGACACGUAUCACGGUGACACAUGUGCUAUGGGAUCCAUUUGGGUCCUACAGAAGUUGAAAACUUUUGACUAUUGAGGUGUGAUCACAACUUUUGUCCCUAUUGCUUUCUCCGCAACCGUUUUACAUGUUUCCUUUGUGGUGUUUAAUAGUGUUUUUUUCCUUAAUUCUAAAUAAACCUUAAUACUUAAUAAUGUUAAAUAUUAGGUUAUUUAUUUUUAUAAUAUUUUAUUUAUAUUAAGUAUUAAAAAGUAAAGAAAAAUCAAUAUAUUUAUUUUUCUAUUUAGAAAAAACUAUAUAUUUUUAAUUUUUUUAUUUAAUAAAAAAUUUAUAAUAAAUCAUGAAAAAAUAGAAAAACAAACAACCUAAAUUUUAAAAAUAAAUUGUUUUUAGUAAAAACCCAAAAAAACAAACACCACCUUAACUAAACAAAUAUAUAUUAUAUUUAGUUAAGAAAGAGUAAAGUGUAUAUGGCUCAAAUCAAGGAAGAGAAACAGAAUAAGUGGAAGACAAUCAAUUGUGAUAAACAGAUAUAUUACAUGCAUGUAGUACUAGUGACUUUAUCAUUUACUUUUAUACAAUAGAUCAUCACACUCUUUCUUCUAAAUAUUUUGGAGGAUAAUGGUACAUGUUGCUUGUUGCCAAGUCAAAAUUGGUGGCAAAAAUCGGCAUGAUACGAAAGGAUUGGUGAAAAGAUUCACAUAGAUGGUGCUUUGUGCAAUGCAGUCUUGCUCUAAUUCAACAGAGUGGACCAUGGUGAUGUAUUUUAAAUUUUAAAUUUUAAAUUAAUGCAUGCUUCAAAGUUUUAACUAGAUGUCACUUCCAUGGAUUUUUGUUCAUUUAAUUGAGAACAGGAUAGGCUAUCAAACUUGAAGUAAUAUAAAAAUCCCUUCAUUACUGUAACUAAUGAAAGAUCAUUAUCUGCGCUUGGUAUUUUGCCAAGGUAUUUGCUGCUCUUUCUAGCCCUAUCUUACAGUUAAGGACAAUGUGAUCUAGUUAACCUUAGAAGCUAUUCCAUGUCAUAUACAAGAGAUCAAGCACAUUAUCUUUGGGCUCAGUUCAAAACUAUAAUAUAUGGGUGGGGUGGGGGCCUAUACCAUUUGCAUAUCACCACUAUUGGUUUAGUUUGGAAGGUUUCUUCUGGAAGAUUGCUUUCUGGAAACAUUUCAAAGAAAUAUAUCUUUUUGUUCUCUUGGUGACGAGCAGCGGCAAUCAAGUCUGUUGACAAACAACCGAGUUGAAAAGUUUGAAAAUUGGUCACAGCCCACGUCCAUGGUUAAGGAAAAGGUCACUGGAAGUGAUCCCUUCUGGGCCUGUUGGAAGCAGGGGAGGUUAACACACCAAGCAACAAAGAACAGAGAUAUGCUGCUACUGAUCUAUAUUUUUUAUUUGAUCAUAAGGCUAAAUUUAUACAGAUUGUGUAACAGAUAUGACCUCAAAAAAAAGCAUCAAAUCAAGCUACUUGUUGAACAAACAACUACCUUCUACAAAAUAACAUCAAAAUUUAACUUAAAAGCAAAAACAUAAAAAUAGCAACAGCAAAAAUAGAAACAUAAAAAUAGCUUCAGCAUUCUAGUAAUCUCGUUGACUUCAAUUGCAUGUGGUUGACGAUUUCAGCCUUUUCCUCAGCAGCUACUAAGGCAUAACUCUCAACACUCCUCCUUGACUUAGGAGGUGCAAACUCCAAGUCUUUCUCAUAGAAACUCAAAUCUUAUUUUAGGAAGAGCUUUAGUCAGAAUAUCUACAUUUUGACUGUCUGUAUUGCAGUAGACUAGUUGUAUAUCUCCUUCUUUCUGUACUUCCCUCAAAAAUUACAAUUUAAUCUUGAAGUGCUUUGUUUUACCAUGAAAAACUGGAUCAUUUGCAAUAGAUAUAGUGGCCUGGUUGUCUACAAACACCUUUGUACUCACUUCUUGCUUCAUAUCCAAAUCUGUCAGCAACUUUCCAAGCCAUAAGGCUUGAUUUACAGCUGUAACAGCAGCAAUAUACUCUGCCUCAGCUGUGGAUUGAGCCACGACUUCUUGCUUCCUUGAACUCCAUGAAAAAACACCAGAACCAAAACUAAAACAAUAGCCUGAAGUACUUCUCAUAUCGUCAACACAACCAGCCCAAUCACUAUCAGAAAAUCCAUGAAAAUUGAAACUUUGAACUUGACUGAACUUAAUGCCAUAAUCCACAGUGCCUUUAACAUUUCUUAUCACACGCUUUGCUGCCUGGAAAUGAAUUUCACUAGCACAAUGCAUGUAUCUCGAAAGUAGACUUACAGCAUGCAUUAUAUCGAGUCUUGUUGCAGUCAAGUACAUUAAGCAUCCAAUCAUGCUUCGAUAAAGUCCUUCAUCUACCUUUUUAGCACCGUCCUCCUUACAGAACUUCUCUUUCUGGUUCAUAGGGGUAGAUGUAGGUUUGCAUUCCUCCAUUUUGAAUUUCUUCAUAAUUUCUUUGGCAUAUUUUUGUUGGCAGAUGAAAAUCUCAUUCUGCUUCUGGUGUACUUCCAUUCCCAAGAAGUAAGACAUCUCAUCUAGGUCUGUCAUCUCAAAAACCUGCUCCAUUUCAGCCUUGAAUUUGUUCACAAACCCUGCAUUACUUCCUGUUACAAGCAAAUCAUCAACAUAUAGAGAAACAAUUAAUAUAUCUUCUUCAAUCUUCUUAAUGUAGAGUGUAAAUUCACUCAAGCUCUUGUGAAAGCCUAAAGUUAGCAGGUGAGUGUCAAUCCUGCUGUACCAAGCUCUAGGGGCUUGUCUUAACCCAUACAAGGCCUUCUUAAGAAGGUAUACUUUUUCUUCUUUUCCUUUGAUAGCAAAACCUUCUGGUUGUUCGACAAAAAUCUCUUCCUCUAAGUAGCCAUUCAAAAAUGCUGACUUCACAUCUAGUUGAUAAAUCUUCCAUUUUCUUUGAGCUACAAGAGCCAACAACAUCCUGAUUGUAUCCAAACGAGCUACUGGUGCAAAGGUUUCCGAAAAGUCAACACCAAACAUUUGUGCAUACCCUUUGACAACCAGCCUUGCUUUAUGUUUGUUUAUAGAACCAUCAGAGUUGAGUUUGGUUCUGUAAACCCACUUAACCCCAAUAGGUUUUUUGUGUGAAGGUCUAUCUACUAGCUCCCAAGUGUUGUUCUUGUCAAUCAUAUCUAGCUCCUCCUGCAUUGCAACCCUCCAUCUUUUAUUUUCAGCAGCUUCAACAAACCCUGCAAGUUCAAGAACAGCUAUAUUACACCUUUGAUAAAUAUCAAAAAGUGUCAUGAAACCUCUAACUGGAAGUUCAUCAACAUCUUCAUCAAUAUAUUGCUGAUUCUGCUCAUCCCAACUCCAUUUCUCCGUUUCCAAAAACUUAACAUCUCUACUUACCACAAUUUUACUAUUUUGUGGCAAGUAGAUUCUGUAAGCUUUUGAGGUGCUGUUGUAUCCAAUGAAAAUUCCUGGUUCUGACUUUUUAUCUAGCUUGUCUCUUUUCACCUGAGGAACAUAAGAGAAACACAAGCAACCAAAGGUCUUUAAAUUCAUUAGCAUAGGCUUAUAAGCAAACCAGGCCUCAAAAGGUGUCUGUUUCUGCAAUGCUUUUGUUGGUAGUCUAUUUAGCAAAAAUACUACUGUAUUUGCAGCUUCAACCCAAAAACUUUUUGGCAGCUCUUUCUCAUGCAAAAGACAUCUUGUCAUUGAUUACUACUCAAAAAGUGCUAUUUGAUAGCCUUUAAUUAAUCCUUUUUAACACUUUUGAGUAGUAGUUUAGGCCUUUUAACUCAAUUGGCAUGUUAAGGAUCCUUUAAAGCAAUUUUGAUCACUUUGUGCAAGUUUUGGUGUUUUUGUUAGUAUUUCGAUCACCAAAGCAAGUCAAGAAUGAGGAGAGCUAUGAGGAAUCUUGGGCAAAGCUUAGAAUUCAAUUGCCAAGAGUGAAUCCGGAUUGCAAGGAGAAAAAGCAAAGAGGAUCAGUCAUGGAGCAUAUUCUUGAUGACAGUCGUAGCAGCCACUUUUGGAUCACUUUCUGAAGUCCAAAUGAUGCAAGCUAUAUACCAUUUCAAAGCUCAGGAAGUCAACAAUCCAAUGCUUCAAACGGUGUGCGAUUCGGAAUUGAAACGAAGAAGUUGCAGCCAUUACAAGCCAGACACUCUAAAGUGUUGCGGAAUCAGCCAUGUGUUGCGAGAAUUUCGCAGCACUUUUGUACAGUAAGGUGUUUCUCCUUCUAACGAUGCACGAACCAUGCCGCGAGAAGGGAGCUGGAAACUUCAAGAUGGAAGCCAACUUUGCAGCCUAGUGAAGAUAGCUCGGUCUUGCAAGAUAAUUUCGCAGCCCUCUUGGGUGUCUGCGAAAUUUCGCAGGCCUCAUUUUUCACCUGCGAAAUGGCUCUUGAAGCCUCCCGAAGCUUGCUACCGACAUUGGGAGAUAUUUUCCAUUAGAUUUUUGUUGUCUAAAUCCCAAAAUACUCCUUGUAAACCACCAAUUACAUGAUUCCUUAGUUUUUAAGUUAGUAAAAAGACCAAAUAUCUUUGUAACAAUUAGUUUUAUAUUUUGUUGUUAUAAAUACCUCUCGGGAGCCUGUUCUCAGGGAGGAGUUCCUUCUGUAAACGUUUGGUAAGCAAGUAAAGUCUAUUUUCUUUCUACUGCCUUACCUUCUCACUUUGUAUUUUCAUUUUAUUUCUAAGUUAUGAAUUCUCUGAGGAGUUUUCCCCAAAGAAUGAGUAACUAAACCUCCAAUUCCUUGGAGCUAAGGUUGCCGGGGAAGGUUCCAAGUGCAAGAAUGCAAAGCUCUGUGGUUUUAGCUAGUAAUGAAGAGGAAGUGAAAUCCUUUAGUGAUUUCAAUGUUUUUAGUUAACUUAAAACACUUUGGAGUCACCUGGGCCAACACUUGGUAAGGCAAGUGAUUUCCAACCAUGGAAAUGCACUAGUUUACCCCUUGCGAGCCUCUGGUAGGUGACUUCAAGGUAGGAUUUUCUGGAAUUACCAACACUUGGUAAGCUUUUGGACUCCUAGGAGACAUCCAUUAGUUAUCUCUUGCGAGUUUGUGAAGGGAAUCCAAGGUUAAAGAUCACCUUGAAUGGUAAGUGCUCGUGAGAGGCAUGAACCAUUGCAAGUUGUAUCAGUGAGAGAAUUAAAGUGAAAUCUAAUUGAAGGAGUCUUUGUACAUCACCGGUUAGAGAAUUGACUAUAAGUUGAAUCUCUAAUGCGAGGAAAUGAACCAACUGACCAGAGCCGUGUCUUUUGCAUGAGGAACCACCCCAGUGAACCUAAAUCUCCAAGGAAUGUUUUUUUCUUCCUAAAUUAUUCCAAACUUCUGUUAAGUUAGUUAGUUUAAAUCUCAACCUUUACAAAUCAAAGUUUGUGUUUUAUUCCUUAAGCUAACCGUGAAAUGAAACAAGACCAAUUCACUUGGAAUUGGUAUCAUUGAUUGCCUGCAAAUCAUUCCCAGUGAACGAUCCUAGAGCCACUAUACUAUAGUAGCUUUGUAUUUGCUACCCUAGUGUAUGGUGUUAUAGGUAUAAAUUUUGUUGAUCACUUCCUCAAUCAAGGAGCACCAGCUGAACACAAAUCAGCUGAGACACCAAUUAGGCAUGAGUCAAAUGGCGCCGUUGCCGGGGAAUGAAUGUCAAGUUCAUUGUGAUACCAUUGUUGAGCACUUGUGAUUUUCAUCACAAGUUGGUAAAGUUUCUUUCACUUUACUAAUUUUCAUUCUUUCUUUGUUUAUUUACAAUCUAAGUUUAUCUUUUUAAAUUUUAGUCUAGUUUAAUUUUGUUGUUGUAGCCCUGUUUUUCUUGUUGUCCUCUGUUUUCAUUUUUUUUUUCAGGUAGAUACUAGUUGUGUAUGCCCAAGUGGAUACGAGACAUAGGAGGUAGGCUUGUUAAGUGUGAUACACCUCAGAAAGGAGAAUUUGAAGUAAUCUUGAAUAUCAUGGAGGCUGCACCUGAAGAUCAGCAUAGUCACCAAGGUCGUCAAGACAAUCUCAAUGAAUUCAGAUCAAUGAGGGACCGUAUGCAUCCACCUCGUAUGAGUACACCAUCAUGUAUAGUGCCCCCUACAGAGCAGCUAGUGAUCAGACCAUAUCUUGUUCCACUUCUACCAACUUUCCAUGGGAUGGAAAGUGAGAAUCCGUAUGCACACAUCAAGGAAUUUGAAGAUGUUUGUAAUACAUUCCAAGAAGGAGGAGCUUCAAUUGACUUGAUGAGGCUUAAGUUAUUUCCUUUUACUUUAAAGGAUAAGGCCAAAAUUUGGCUUAAUUCUUUAAGGCCAAGGAGUAUCCGCUCUUGGACUGAUUUACAAGCUGAGUUCCUUAAGAAAUUUUUUCCUACUCAUAGAACAAAUGGCUUGAAAAGGCAAAUUUCAAACUUCUCAGCUAAAGAGAAUGAGAAAUUCUAUGAGUGUUGGGAAAGAUACAUGGAAGCUAUAAAUGCUUGUCCUCACCAUGGCUUUGAUACUUGGCUAUUGGUGAGCUAUUUUUAUGAUGGUAUGUCCUCCUCAAUGAAGCAACUCCUCGAGACAAUGUGUGGAGGAGAUUUCAUGAGCAAAAAUCCAGAGGAAGCUAUGGAUUUCUUGAGCUAUGUAGCUGAUGUUUCAAGGGGAUGGGAUGAACCAACUAAAGGAGAAGUGGGAAAGAUGAAGUCUCAGUUGAAUGCUUACAAUGCAAAGGCUGGGAUGUAUAAUUUGAAAGAAGAUGAUGACAUGAAAGCAAAGUUGGCAGCUAUGACAAGAAGAUUGGAGGAGCUGGAGCUGAAAAGAAUGCAUGAAGUGCAAGCUGUUGCUGAAGCACCAGUGCAAGUGAAGCUGUGUCCCAAUUGUCAAUCAUUUGAACAUUUGGUGGAGGAGUGCCCUGCAAUUUCAGUUGAAAGGGAAAUGUAUAGAGAUCAAGCAAAUGUUGUUGGACAAUUUAGGCCCAAUAACAAUGCUCCUUAUGGAAAUACCUACAAUUCAAGUUGGAGGAAUCAUCCAAAUUUCUCAUAGAAGGCCAGAGCAACUCAAUACCAACAGCCGGAUCCACCAUCUCAGCAAUCUUCAAGUAUUGAACAAAUAAUAGCCAAUCUCAGCAAGGUAGUGGGAGAUUUUGUGGGAAAGCAAGAAGCCACCAAUGCUCGAGUUGAUCAAAGAAUGGAUAGAAUGGAGAGUGUGUUGAACAAAAGAAUGGAUGGAAUGCAAAAUGAUAUGAACCAAAAGUUUGAUAACAUCCAAUAUUCAAUUUCAAGGCUUACAAAUUUGAAUACACUGCAAGAAAAAGGAAGAUUUCCUUCUCAACCUAACCAAAAUCCCAAAGGUGUCCAUGAAGUGGAAAGCCAUGAGGGAGAAUCAUCACAGGUGAAAGAUGUGAAAGCUUUGAUCACUCUAAGGAGUGGUAAGAAAAUUGAGCAGCCAACACCCAUGCCACAUGUUGAGAAAGAAGAAGGGAUAAAGAAAGGAAAGGAAAUAGAAGAUAAAGACAGUGAGAUCAGUGAAGAAAAGAAGGACUCUGAUUCAACAAUCAAAGCAAUUCCAGAGAAAGAGCUUCUGAAGGAAGAAAUGCUGAAGAAAUCAACUUUUCCACCUUUUCCUCAAGCAUUACAGGGGAAAAAGGGGGUUAGAAAUGCAGCUGAAAUCCUUGAAGUCUUAAGACAAGUAAAAGUUAAUAUUCCACUGCUGGAUAUGAUCAAACAAGUUCCAACGUAUGCAAAAUUCCUAAAGGACUUGUGUACUAUCAAAAGAGGGGUUGACUGUAAACAAGAAAGCCUUCUUGACUGAGCAAGUAAGUGCAAUCUUACAAUGCAAGUCUCCUUUGAAGUACAAAGACCCUGGAAGUCCUACCAUUUCAGUCAUGAUUGGAGGAAAGGUAGUGGAGAAAGCCUUGCUAGACUUGGGAGCAAGUGUGAAUUUGCUUCCAUACUCUGUCUACAAGCAACUGGGACUUGGAGAGUUGAAGCCAACAGCAAUCACUUUAUCUUUGGCAGAUAGAUCAGUGAAAAUUCCAAGAGGAGUAAUUGAGGAUGUAUUGGUUCAAGUGGAUAAUUUCUACUAUCCAGUAGAUUUUGUUGUUCUUGAUACUGAUCCAACUGUAAAGGAAGCUAAUUUAGUUCCUAUCAUCCUUGGAAGGCCAUUUCUUGCAACUUCAAAUGCAAUCAUCAACUGUAGAAAUGGGCUUAUGCAACUCACUUUUGGUAACAUGACACUGGAUCUCAAUAUUUUCUAUAUGUCUAAAAAGCAAAUCACUCCUGAGGAAGAAGAAGGUCCAGAAGAGCUAUGUAUUAUUGAUACUUUGGUGGAGGAGCACUGCAAUCAGCAUAUGCAAGAUAAGUUGAAUGAAAGUCUUGUGGAUAUUGAGGAAGGUUUUUCUGAAUCUCCUAUUGGGCUUGCUACUCUACAAAGUUGGAGAAAGAUAGAAGGAAUUCUACCUUUGUUCAAUGAAAAAGAGGAGGCAACUGUUGAAGAAGAAAUUCCAAAACUCAAUUUGAAGCCUUUACCUGUGGAGCUGAAAUAUACAUAUCUUGAAGCAAAUAAUCAAUGUCCUGUUGUGAUAUCCUCAUCUCUGACCAGUCAUCAAGAGAAUUGUUUAAUGGAAGUUCUCAUGAGGUGUAAGAAGGCAAUAGGAUGGCAAAUAUCUGACUUGAAAGGCAUUAGUCCUUUAGUUUGUACUCAUCAUAUAUAUAUGGAGGAGGAAGCAAAGCCAAUUCGUCAAUUUCAAAGAAGGUUGAAUCCUCAUCUACAAGAGGUGGUGCGAGCUGAGGUGCUGAAGCUACUUCAAGCAGGAAUCAUUUACCCUAUUUCUGAUAGCCCUUGGGUGAGUCCUACUCAAGUGGUACCAAAGAAGUCAGGGAUCACAGUGAUUCAAAAUGAAAAAGGGGAAGAAAUUACUACACGCCUCACUUCAGGUUGGAGGGUGUGUAUUGAUUAUAGAAAGCUGAAUGCUGUCACCAGGAAGGAUCAUUUUCCAUUGCCAUUUAUUGAUCAAGUGCUGGAGAGAGUCUCUGGACAUCCAUUUUAUUGUUUCUUGGAUGGGUAUUCAGGCUAUUUUCAAAUUGAAAUUGAUUUGGCAGAUCAGGAAAAGACCACUUUUACAUGUCCAUUUGGAACAUUUGCUUAUAGAAGAAUGCCUUUUGGUUUAUGCAAUGCACCUGCUACAUUUCAAAGAUGUAUGUUGAGUAUUUUCAGUGAUAUGGUGGAGAGAAUUAUGGAGGUUUUCAUGGAUGACAUCACCGUAUAUGGAGGUACAUUUGAGGAGUGCUUGGUUAAUUUGGAAGCAGUUCUUCAUAGAUGCAUUGAAAAAGAUUUGGUGCUGAACUGGGAGAAAUGCCAUUUUAUGGUACGUCAAGGAAUUGUCCUUGGCCAUAUCAUCUCUGAAAGAGGCAUUGAAGUUGAUAAAGCAAAGGUGGAGCUUAUUGCCAAAUUACCAUCUCCAACAACUGUGAAAGGAGUAAGACAGUUCCUUGGCCAUGCAGGGUUCUAUAGGAGGUUUAUAAAAGGUUUUUCAAGUCUUUCAAAACCUCUUUGUGAGCUGUUAGCUAAGGAUGCUAAGUUUAUAUGGGAUGAAAGGUGUCAGCAUAGCUUUGAUCAACUGAAGAAGUUUUUAACAACAACUCCAAUAGUGAGAGCCCCUAACUGGCAAUUACCUUUUGAACUGAUGUGUGAUGCCAGUGACUUUGCUAUAGGAGCUGUGCUUGGCCAAAGAGAAGAUGGGAAGCCCUAUGUGAUUUACUAUGCAAGUAAAACACUAAAUGAAGCUCAGAGGAACUACACAACUACAGAGAAAGAAUUGUUAGCUGUGGUAUUUGCUUUGGACAAAUUUCGAGCUUAUUUAGUGGGGUCUUUCAUCAUUGUCUUCACUGACCAUUCAGCCUUGAAGUAUUUAUUGACAAAGCAAGAUGCAAAAGCAAGGUUGAUUAGAUGGAUUCUAUUGUUACAAGAGUUCGAUCUUCAAAUCAAAGAUAAGAAAGGAGUGGAGAAUGUAGUAGCUGACCACUUGUCAAGGUUAGUUAUAGCACAUAAUUCCCAUCCCUUGCCUAUCAAUGAUGAUUUUCCUGAAGAAUCACUCAUGUUCCUAGUGAAAACUCCUUGGUAUGCUCAUAUUGCUAAUUAUUUAGUAACUGGGGAAAUUCCAAGUGAGUGGAAUGCACAGGACAGGAAGCACUUCUUUGCCAAAAUUCAUGCUUAUUAUUGGGAAGAGCCCUUUCUCUUUAAGUAUUGUGCAGAUCAGAUUAUUAGGAAGUGUGUCCCUGAAGAUGAGCAGCAAGGGAUUCUAUCUCAGUGUCAUGAGAAUGCAUGUGGAGGCCACUUUGCCUCUCAGAAAACAGCCAUGAAGGUAUUACAAUCAGGGUUUACUUGGCCAUCUCUUUUCAAAGAUGCCCACAUCAUGUGUAGAAAUUGUGAUAGAUGCCAAAGGCUUGGAAAGCUAACAAAAAGAAAUCAAAUGCCUAUGAACCCCAUUCUGAUAGUUGAGAUAUUUGAUGUUUAGGGCAUUGACUUCAUGGGACCUUUCCCAAUGUCUUUUGGUAAUUCUUACAUUUUGGUGGGGGUAAAUUAUGUUUCUAAAUGGGUUGAGGCAAUCCCCUGUAAGCAAAAUGAUCACAGGGUGGUUCUCAAGUUUCUUAAAGAGAACAUUUUCUCAAGAUUUGGGGUGCCCAAGGCCAUAAUCAGUGAUGGAGGAGCUCAUUUUUGCAACAAACCUUUUGAAGCUCUGUUAUCCAAGUAUGGAGUGAAGCAUAAGGUAGCCACACCUUAUCAUCCUCAGACAUCCGGGCAAGUUGAGCUAGCUAACAGGGAAAUAAAGAACAUUUUGAUGAAAGUGGUGAAUUCCAACAGAAAAGAUUGGUCUAUUAGGCUUCAUGAUUCAUUGUGGGCAUAUAGAACAGCUUAUAAAACUAUUCUUGGGAUGUCUCCCUAUCGUCUUGUCUAUGGCAAAGCAUGCCAUCUCCCUGUGGAAGUUGAAUACAAAGCUUGGUGGGCAAUAAAGAAGCUGAAUAUGGACUUGAUCAAGGCCGGAGAAAAGAGAUUUCUAGACCUUAAUGAGAUGGAGGAAUUAAGAAAUAAUGCUUAUAUCAAUUCCAAAGUUGCAAAACAGAGGAUGAAGAAGUGGCAUGAUCAACUCAUCUCCAACAAGGAAUUUCAGGAAGGGCAAAAAGUUUUGAUGUAUGACACAAGACUCCAUAUCUUUCCUGGGAAGCUCAAAUCAAGGUGGAUUGGUCCAUUUGUUAUUCACCGAGUAUAUUCCAAUGGAGUGGUGGACUUAUUGAAUUCCAAUGGCAAGGAUAGCUUUAAAGUCAAUGGAUAUCGUCUCAAGCCGUUCAUGGAGUCAUUCAAAUCAGAAAAGGAGGCAAUCAACCUCCUUGAACCUCAAAAAGCCUAAGUGAAAAGGGUUUGCUGGACGUGGCUUUACCACAGUCCAAAAUUUUUGUAAAUUUUGUAAAUUUUCAAGUUGUUUCUAUACUUUUGAUUUUAGUUUUUGAUCUUAAAUCAUGUUUUUAGGUGUGUUUUAAUCGUUUUAAAUGAUCCCAGGUGGAAGAAAUUUCAAGGGGAUUGAAAGAAAAAAAAUCGGGUCGAAAUUGGAGCCGAAACAGAGCAAAAACAGGGGAAAAACAGAGCUCUGCGAAAUUUCGCAGGGUGAAGGAAACCUCUGCGAAAUGAGCAUUUUGUUGCGAAACCAUUCCGCAGCACUGUAGAAGCCUCUGCGAGUGUAUUUCGCAGCUGCGAAAGUGAAUUUGGCACACGAGUGCCACUUCGCAGUACAGUAGCAUCCAUUUGGCAGCUGCGAAACUCAUUGCGAAAUGGAAAAGCGUGAUUUCGCACCAAAAGUCCCAUUCCGCAGGGUAUUUCGCAAUUGCGAAAGUGGUUUUGGCACACGAGUGCCACUCCGCAGCACAGUAACAUCAAUUUCGCAGCUGCGAAACUCACUGCGAAGUUGCUGCGAAAAUGGCAAGUUGCUGCGAAAUUGGCGUUUAGUUGCGAAACUUAAACUGACCCCUGAGCUUCCGUUUUUCCUAUUUAUACCGGUCAAAAGUGCUGCGAAAAGGGUUUCAAAAAUCAGAGCACCAUUCUCGCAGCCCCUUCAUCUUCUUCGCCAAGCCACGCCGUCCGAACCUCCGGUCGUCUUCUCCGUUUAGCAGCGCCGGCCAAAGAUCGAUAUUCCAAAAUGGCACGAACGCGAGGGGCAAAAUCUUCAUCCCCUUCGAAUCGCAAAAGGAGUCUGCGAAAGGAGCCAAGUCCAGGUUCUGCUCCAGAACCUGCUCCAAAGCCUUCGCCGUCGAGACCACAACCUUCUCCAGUGAAGCCGGCGCCACUAAAGCCGCCGGCAAGACGAUAUUUGACAAGGUCAGGCGGUUGGCCAUUGAAGAAGAAGCCCAGGGUUGAGAGCUCUGAACCAAUUGAUUUGACUGAGCAAUCCCCUGAGCAGUCCCCAAAUCCUUCACCAGUUCAAACUCCAGUGCCGUCACCGGUUCCCUCGCCAAUUCCCUCACCUGAAGCAACUCCAAUUCCAUCGUCGGUACCAUCUCCGGCACCCCAAGAAAAAGCUCAGGAGCCUCAAGCGCCAAUUCCAGAGCCCCAAAUUGCAGCUGAAGCACCUCUGGAAGAAGUGAUCCGAAGGCCAAUGCUGCCCCAGCCCCCAAUCGAAGGAAACUUGGAUUGUCGAACACGGGCAUUCCAUUCUGAGCUUUGCUUCGAUUUAACAGCAUUCAGAGUGAGGCCAGAGCUUGCCCAAUCCUUCCAGCUGCUGAGGAGAUAUCAUAUGGAGCAUCUGCUAGCUCCAAGGGAUUUUUUCUAUCCCCGGGUAGUCACGGACUUCUACCAGACCAUGACAACCAAAGAAGUAAGAAAUCCAACUCUGAUCCAUUUCAUAAUUGAUGGAAGGCAUGGUAUUUUGGGAGCAAGACACAUUGCUGAAGCUCUGCAAAUUCCUUUUGAGCCAACCCAAUUCGACAAUUUUAAAGCUUGGGUAAAUCCUACUGAGUUAGAGAUGGUUCGCACACUAACCAGAGGAGCUGCAAAUCGAUCACACCUGUUGAGGGGGGAGCUACCUCCAGUGAUGUUUUUGAUUGAUGCCUUUUUGAGGCAUAAUAUCUAUCCCCUGCAGCAUUGGACCCAAAGAAGGGGAAUUCUCCUGGAAGCUUUGUACAAGAUGUCAGAAGGAUUCUUCUUUGGGCCCCAUCAUCUUAUCAUGGCAGCCCUUCUAUACUUUGAGGAAAAGGUUCACAAGAAGAAACUUCAAAGAGCAGAUUGCAUUCCACUCCUCUUCCCAAGGCUGCUAUGCCAAGUUUUGGAGCAUCUCGGAUACCCCUCUGAGCCUCAGCAGGAAAGAAAGAGAAUAUGCCGUGAGCCAUUUACUCUUGAUAAAUGGAAUAAUAUGACGGCCUACAAAAUUGAUCAGCCUGGGCAGCCUCAGCCAGCAGCAAGGAGAGCCUCCCCAAGACAUGCACCUGAAGGUAUAACACUUGCUACUCCUGCCAUCCCUCGAGCUUCACCAGCUGCACCUGCUGCAUCACAGCCAUCCACAUCAGCUGAGCCGAGGAUGGCCAUCCCUAUAUCCGAAUAUCGAGAGCUGUGCCGAGCAUUGGAGACUCUUACAGCUUCCCAGAGCAAUCUUGCUCAAGAGUUGGCAGCCAUCAAAGCAUGCCAGGAGCAGAUGUUAGCCUCUCAGGCUCAACAAGCUGCCAUCCUAAGGCAGCUUCAAGUCCAUUUCGAUCUGCCACAAGCUGUAGAGCCCUCCACUGAGACUCCACCAGAGCCACACUCUCAGCCUUCAGAGUCUCUUCCUCCAGAGCCAGAAGCCCCAACUGAUCCACCUACAGAGGAGGCGGAUCCUUCUGCUUAGCACCAUCACCCCACUCAUCAGACAUUAUAUAUAUUUGCUGUUUAUGUUUUUAUGCAUGUUUGUUUUGUUUUAGUUGAAAUGAAAUCCCAGUAUUUUGGUACUAUAUAUGGGAUUCCUUGUGAUUACUUGUCCUUAGCAUUGUACUCGAAUGAAUUGAAAGUAAUACAAGUUGAAUUUUUCUUGUUAAAAGUUAGCAUUAAAAUUCUCCUUAUUUCCUUUUCUCACAUAUUCUAUUCUUUUUGAAACAUGUGGUUUUCCCCAAUCAAUAUUCGAAUUUGAUAUCAGCAUGGAGGUACCACUUCCUCCCUUUUAUUACAGUCACUCAAAUCACAUUGAGGACAAUGCUCAGUUCGGUUGGGGGGUAUGAGGAAGGAAGUAUUCUAAAUCUUUUUGGUAUUGCAAUUAUAUUGGUUAAUUAGUUGUAGAUUUUACGUUUUACUCUUGUUACUCUAUUCUCCAUGAAUUUUGAGGAAAAAUUUUCAAAUUAAACCAAGAGAAAUUGAACUGUUGUUUUUCACUUGACUUAGAGUAUGGAUUAUGCUUACUAAAGUGGUUCAAUUGUUGAAACUUCUACUGAAAUUGAAUUGAGUUCUUCCAUUUUAAGCUAUCCACACACUGUGCACAUUAGUUUCUGAUUAUAAGAUGAAAAGCUAUUUCCCUCUUGACUUAGGAUAAUUUUGGGACUUGGUAUAUUUGACCUCAUUUGAUAAAAAUUGAAACACCCUGCAAAAGGCCAAUGAGCCUUUGAAAUAAAGAAAGAUGUUUGCUUGCCUUGAAACCCGAGCAAGGUCUGAGGGGCAUAUGGUGAAAGCCUUUAAAGCCUGGUGCCCUAAGCCUUAAUUGGUUGGGAGUCACCGACCUCAAUGCUCGUUACAAGGGUGAAUAGGUAGAGCUAGCAUAUGGUAGAUGCUUGGGUAUUAGAAAUUCAUUCUUAAAAGUCCAGGGAAAAAUCCGAGGAGUUAGUGGUUGAAAGAUCCUUAAAACUUGGUGCCCUAAACCUUAAUUGGUUGGGAGUCAUCGAUGGACCCCCAUUACAUGGACAAGUCAGAAAGAGUACCCCAUAAAGCUACUUUAAAAAAAAAAAAAAAAAAAAAAAAAAGAUGAUGAAAGUGUGUUCUUUUCUUAUUGAUUUUGGUCAGAUUGCUAAAGUGUUGAAAAGAGAUAGGUUGGGGGGGGAGACUAGUUUAGCAUAUUAUUCUCGGAAUCUAAGGAACCAAUACACAUAGAUUUUUGUGGAAGAUUGAAGUUUAGUUCUUAGAAAGUGAAAUGAUUUUAAAACUUCAGUUUGCAUAAUGCACUCCCUUGAUUGACAGUGUUUAGCAUAGGUGUUAUGACUCUUGUUGAGAUUUGGGUUUGUAUUUCUUUAAUGAUUCAUGUGAGAAGUAAAUCAUCAUGCCACUUAAGAAUUAUUUUCCUUUCAGCAUGAUGUUGUAAAUUUUAGAUUAGUUUGCUAUUUAUUUUUAUUUUUCUCUCCUUUAUUGCUAAGGGACUAGCAAUAUGUCGGUUGGGGGGAGUGAUUACUACUCAAAAAGUGCUAUUUGAUAGCCUUUAAUUAAUCCUUUUUAACACUUUUGAGUAGUAGUUUAGGCCUUUUAACUCAAUUGGCAUGUUAAGGAUCCUUUAAAGCAAUUUUGAUCACUUUGUGCAAGUUUUGGUGUUUUUGUUAGUAUUUCGAUCACCAAAGCAAGUCAAGAAUGAGGAGAGCUAUGAGGAAUCUUGGGCAAAGCUUAGAAUUCAAUUGCCAAGAGUGAAUCCGGAUUGCAAGGAGAAAAAGCAAAGAGGAUCAGUCAUGGAGCAUAUUCUUGAUGACAGUCGUAGCAGCCACUUUUGGAGCACUUUCUGAAGUCCAAAUGAUGCAAGCUAUAUACCAUUUCAAAGCUCAGGAAGUCAACAAUCCAAUGCUUCAAACGGUGUGCGAUUCGGAAUUGAAACGAAGAAGUUGCAGCCAUUACAAGCCAGACACUCUAAAGUGUUGCGGAAUCAGCCAUGUGUUGCGAGAAUUUCGCAGCACUUUUGUACAGUAAGGUGUUUCUCCUUCUAACGAUGCACGAACCAUGCCGCGAGAAGGGAGCUGGAAACUUCAAGAUGGAAGCCAACUUGGCAGCCUAGUGAAGAUAGCUCGGUCUUGCAAGAUAAUUUCGCAGCCCUCUUGGGUGUCUGCGAAAUUUCGCAGGCCUCAUUUUUCACCUGCGAAAUGGCUCCUGAAGCCUCCCGAAGCUUGCUACCGACAUUGGGAGAUAUUUUCCAUUAGAUUUUUGUUGUCUAAAUCCCAAAAUACUCCUUGUAAACCACCAAUUACAUGAUUCCUUAGUUUUUAAGUUAGUAAAAAGACCAAAUAUCUUUGUAACAAUUAGUUUUAUAUUUUGUUGUUAUAAAUACCUCUCGGGAGCCUGUUCUCAGGGAGGAGUUCCUUCUGUAAACGUUUGGUAAGCAAGUAAAGUCUAUUUUCUUUCUACUGCCUUACCUUCUCACUUUGUAUUUUCAUUUUAUUUCUAAGUUAUGAAUUCUCUGAGGAGUUUUCCCCAAAGAAUGAGUAACUAAACCUCCAAUUCCUUGGAGCUAAGGUUGCCGGGGAAGGUUCCAAGUGCAAGAAUGCAAAGCUCUGUGGUUUUAGCUAGUAAUGAAGAGGAAGUGAAAUCCUUUAGUGAUUUCAAUGUUUUUAGUUAACUUAAAACACUUUGGAGUCACCUGGGCCAACACUUGGUAAGGCAAGUGAUUUCCAACCAUGGAAAUGCACUAGUUUACCCCUUGCGAGCCUCUGGUAGGUGACUUCAAGGUAGGAUUUUCUGGAAUUACCAACACUUGGUAAGCUUUUGGACUCCUAGGAGACAUCCAUUAGUUAUCUCUUGCGAGUUUGUGAAGGGAAUCCAAGGUUAAAGAUCACCUUGAAUGGUAAGUGCUCGUGAGAGGCAUGAACCAUUGCAAGUUGUAUCAGUGAGAGAAUUAAAGUGAAAUCUAAUUGAAGGAGUCUUUGUACAUCACCGGUUAGAGAAUUGACUAUAAGUUGAAUCUCUAAUGCGAGGAAAUGAACCAACUGACCAGAGCCGUGUCUUUUGCAUGAGGAACCACCCCAGUGAACCUAAAUCUCCAAGGAAUGUUUUUUUCUUCCUAAAUUAUUCCAAACUUCUGUUAAGUUAGUUAGUUUAAAUCUCAACCUUUACAAAUCAAAGUUUGUGUUUUAUUCCUUAAGCUAACCGUGAAAUGAAACAAGACCAAUUCACUUGGAAUUGGUAUCAUUGAUUGCCUGCAAAUCAUUCCCAAUGAACGAUCCUAGAGCCACUAUACUAUAGUAGCUUUGUAUUUACUACCCUAGUGUAUGGUGUUAUAGGUAUAAAUUUUGUUGAUCACUUCCUCAAUCAAGGAGCACCAGCUGAACACAAAUCAGCUGAGACACCAAUUAGGCAUGAGUCAGUCAUCUCCAUUAUUGUUUUAUUUUUUCUUUCCACCACCCCAUUUUGUUGUGGGGUGUAUGGUGCAAUGAGCUGGUGAUCUAUGCCUGCAUCUUCACAAAAUUUGUUGAAUUUUUCUGAAGUAUAUUCUGUACCAUUAUUCGACCUUAUAACCUUGAUUCUGUAUUCACUUUGAUUUUCAACCAUGGCCUUAUAUCUCAAAAACACAUCAGCAACCUCAGCUUUGUAAGUGAGAAAAUAAAUCCAACAAAAUCUUGUGAAGUCAUCAAUAAAUGCAAUAUAGUACUUACUCCCUUUCAAAGAUGGUGUCUUUUGAGGUCCACUCACAUCUGUGUGAACCAAUUGUAGUUUCUGUGUUGAUUUCCAUGCUGCUUUUUGAGGAAAAGGAAGUCUUGUUUGCUUCCCAUAUUGAUAGGCUGCACAUAUAGGAAGUUCUUCUUCCAAAUCAGGGAGUCCUUCUACAAUCUAAUUCUUCUUCAUGUAGAGCACGGUAUUGUGGUGGAAAUGCCCUAAUCUUUUAUGCCAAAGCAUUGUAUUGUUCUCGUGUUGUGCAGCAGUAAUUUGCUCAUCUUCUAACAUAUUUAAGGCAAAACUUUUGCCUUUCAUUUUUAUGUUGAACACCUCUUUGCCUUCAGCAUCCUUGAUUAUGCAAUUUUUGUCUUCAAAACAAACUUUAAACCCUUUCUCAACAAGCUGUCCAACACUUAGCAAAUUUUGGUCAAUGUCAGGCACAAACAAAACAUCAGAAAUGAGCUUUAAACCUGUUAGGCUUUCAAUAGCUAAUGUUCUUUUACCUUUUACUGGAAUAUACUCACCAUUUCCUAUUCUAACUUUGGAAAUAGUUGUCCUAUCAAUCUCCCUAAAGCGAUCUUGAUCAUGUCAUGUGGUUUGUGCAACCACUGUCCACGAGCCAGCUUUCAGAGGUGCUACCGUUUGCAAAACAUGUUGCUGAAAAUAGUUGUUCCUCCUGGUAUUGUUCAGCUGCUACAUUGGUUUCUCCCUGCUGCUGCUGAGUUCUACAGAUCCUUUCUAUGUGUCCAUGUCUACCACAUUUGUUGCAUUUCACAUCUGGUCUCCACCAACAUUUUUGUUGAGGAUGAUUUGUUUUCUUGCAAUGAGGACAGGGUGGAUAGGUUCCAGUUUUUUUAUUGUUGUUGUUGCUUGGCUUAUUGUUGUUCUUUUUGUUCUUCCUCCUUCUUGUGUUACCUUCAUUGGUCUGUGUCUUUGCUUGAAAAGCUCCUUCUACAGAACUUCCUUGCCUCAUGAGUCUUCUUUGUUCCAAAGCUUGUAAAGCAUUUAGUAGUUCUGCCAAGGUGAUACUUGACAAAUCUUUUGUGUUUUCCAAAGAAGAAAUUGUAGCUUCAUAUUUUUCAGGAAUUGUGACAAAAUUGUUUUGAACAACUCUUUCAUCAGAAAACUCUUUACCUAGCAACCUCACCUUGUUUGCUAUGGUAAGAAGUUGUUCUGCAUAAUCUUUUAUGGUUUGAGACUCUUUCAUCCUCACCAUUUCAAAUUCUCGAAUUAGAUUCAUUACCUGCACAUUUCUGACUCUUUCAUUGCCUUGAUAUUCUUCCCGUAGAUGCUUCCAGAUUUCUGCAACAGAUUCAAGUUGCAUGAUUCUGGUGAGAAUUAAUGGUGAGACUACAGAAAAUAAGCAAGCCUUGGCCUUAGCCUUCCUCGUCUUUUUCUCCUUAUGGUUUUUCAUCUGUGACACAGUUGGAUUGGCUCCAAGUGGAGAAAUUUCAUAAUCUUCCUCUAUUGCUUCCCAGACAUCAAGAGCCUGUAGAUGAACAGUCAUCCUGACAGCCUAAGUUUGGUAAUUUUCUCCAUUGAAGACUAGUGGUGCUGCUGUGAAGCUUGCUUCUUCCAUUUCUGCAAGGUUUUCAGAUUCAGGUUUGGUAUACGGUGUUUAGGCUCACACACCUCACUGGUCCCUCAAGACAAAAAUUGCUCUGAUACCAAACUGUUGGAAGCAGGCGAGGUUAACACACCAAGCAACAGAGAACAGAGAUAUGCUGCUACUGAUCUAUAUUUUUUAUUUGAUCAUAAGGCUGAAUUUAUACAGAUUGUGUAACAUAUAUGACCUCAAAAAAAGCAUCAAAUCAAGCUACUUGUUGAACAAAAAACUACCUCCUACAAAAUAGCAUCAGAAUUUAACUUAAAAGCAAAAACAUAAUAAUAGCAACAGCAAAAACAGAAACAUAAAAAUAGCUUCAACAUUCUAGUAAUCUCAUUGACUUCAAUUGCAUGUGGUUGACGAUUUCAGCCUUUUCCUCAGCAGCUACUAAGGCAUAACUCUCAACAGGGCCUCUUAAUUUCCAUUCUGGCAUCUAUAUGACCUGAUAAAUAGAAAGAAAAAAAAACAGAAGAAAAGCGGCACCUGGGUUCAUAGUAAGCAUCAAGACAGGAUGCUGAAAGAAGGGAGAGAGGAGAUUGCAAGUCCAAUCCUGAUAAAAUAUCAACAAAGAGUAUUAAAUGGGGCCAACAUAAAGACCCAUUAAGGUCAGCAGAUGGCAUGGCAUUUUUCUCCUUAAGUUUUCCAUGAUUAGGCUUGAAGUCAAAAUUUCACAUGUAAAUUUGUAUUUCUACAUUUCCCACUGACGACACCCAACUUCAACUUGAGUUAGAAUAACAUUGUGUGAACUUAUCUGGCCCUCAAAAUUUACUGUGAAGUGCUUUCUGCGUGUGAAGAUUCAGAAAAGCACCAAGGGAACAUGUAUGGUCUGCCUUUUUCUGAUGUUAUGUUUGUCUCUAAUUCUGUUCCAUGUCAUGGUAAAUGUUCACAUUGCUUGUAUGGAACACACCAGGAUCACUUUUUCAGGUUUAGGGGGAUACAAAAGGCUUCAUAUUGGGUUCAAUGCUUUUAAUGUGUUCAUUGGACAAAUCUGAAUUAUCAUACGCAUUUAGAUAAGAACAAUAAUGUGAAACCCUAGUUACACCUCCCCUGCAUAACCCCAACCCUGCUUGCUCUAUUUCAGUUUACUCACAAGUUUUACUGGUUCUUAUAAGUCAAGAAAAGGCAACUGAUGUUGGAUCGACUCUCUUCCAUGUAAAAAAUGCAACUUUUAUACAUAUAAAAGAACUUCUUCCCCUCACCAAUGUGGGAUUUCAUAGAUUUAUUCUGGAAACACAUCAAAGGAACAUCUUUUCUCUUGGGUGACCCUAAGUGGUGAGUCAGAUCAUUUGCAUGCCAUUGAGUUGCACAGUUGGAUAAAUGCACCUGCCUCCUGGGCUCCAGAGUUAAAAGGGUGGAUCCCUGGAUUGCAACCCUCUUGGCAUCUUGGUUUCUAUUCCAACAUCCACAUGACUUGACAAAACAAAAAACAGAAUAAAAUCAGCACUAUAUUCAUGCUAAGCACCAAUACAUGAUGGAAAUCAUUGCUUAAAGAUUUGGGGUCGUUUUAGGUUUUGACUGCCUCCUACCACCUCACCUAAUGACAAGUUUUUAUGCUUACAAAUCAAAUAUCGUUCUUCAUUAUAUUAAAAUCAUUUUAAGAUUUCAGAUCCAUCUGCUAAUUAUGAUUAUGAUAACAUUUAUUCACCUGUGCUUCUCAUUUUCGACACACAAGGCAUCUAGGUUUGCAGGAUUUCCUUAUUAGAUGAGAUAAAUGAGUACGUAUGGUUAUGUAUCCAGCAUUCAUUAACCAUGGUAUGUGACAUUUAGAAUUAAGAUAGCAAGCAAACUUUCCCUGCAGCUAGAGUAAAUUGUGAUUUCUUAGCCUCUAUGAGUGGUUCCCAAAUCAAAUUAACAUAGUGAAAUAUACGUAGUCCAGUGAAAGGAAAUGUAAAUUAUAAACUAACAGCACUACACUACUGGUAACAAUCGAUACUCUCUAUAUAAUGCAAUAAACAAUGUCACAAUUGCCUACAAGCAAGGCACAAACACUAGAACAAGUAAAGCACAAACCUUUCCCAACAGUUCCCAGUGACUGAUGCAUAUCAUACCCUCAACUCACAGAAGGGGAUGAUAUCAGUGCACUGCAGCACUUAUUUUACACAUACUACCACUACUACUACUACUACUACUACUCAUUAGCCAAAGUCACUCAGUUGGGAUGAGUGUGAGGUAGAGGUUUGUGGGGUGCUAUGUGGAAAGGAGUUUGGCUUCUUCUCAGGAGAUGGUAGCUUCUUUGCAGGAGUUGAAGGAGGCUUAAUCUUCUGUGGUGGAUUGAUUGUAUGAGUCUUUGGCACUCUCUUCUCUAGUACAGGUGAAUACCCAGGGGUGCAUCCAUAAUGCGGUGGCUUCUAUCCCUUAGGUGGUUUGCCAAAU